UCCAGAUCUAGAAGAGGGAAACCACAGGAGAGAAGAAGAAUCAAGCCAGGCGAGCAUAGGAGAGGGAAGCCAUGGAUGUGCGCGAGGGGACGCGGAGGAUGAGGGGUGCUUCCAUCCCUGCUCCGCUCGAGGGGGAUGGCGAGAGCCUGCUGCUGAUGUAUCUGCCUUAGUCGGCGUCGGCGUCGGCGUCGGCGGCGAUGAUGCCCACGCCGCCGCCCUCGUUGGAGGACUUCGAUGCUUUAGGAGAAGAUGGCAAGCCGUUGUGGCCGUCCAAGGAAUUCCUCCGGCAGAUGUUGGUGGCCAUCGCCCCGACCGGAUCGAUUCUGCCCACUGUCUAAUUAAUUACUACGAGUAGCUUUCUUUCUACUCGAUCGUACUACGAGUAGCUUUCUUUCUACUCGAUCGUCUGCCCAUAUGUAAUAAAUUGUGACCAUCGAUGAGGGCGACUACUUUAUUUGUAUGCACUGUCUUGUUUUAAUCGAUGAUGGACUGCCUACUGUCUAAUAAAUUGUCGUUUGUUUUGCAAAGCAAAUGUAACGCGUUCAGUAUGAUCCUAAUUCCUUGCUUGUUCCUCUGCAUAUUGAUUGCUCUUGGUGCAGAUGAACGUUUCACCUAUAGCUGCUGGGAACUUGAUUAUAACUGGCUGAGCCGGCAACUUGCCCGUCUUAUUUGAUUGCUUUGCUGCUAUGCAUAUCCUCAUAUCUAUCUACCUGCACAUCAGUGGGUCAGGGCUUCCAAGGACCUGAUGAAAAAGGGGAUUGAUCAGGAUUGGGUGGCAAACGAAAAAAAAUUAUAUGAGACAAGGUCUCACGGCUAGCAGGUGAGACCCACUCUGAUGGAUGACACAUGACAUUCACAAAGCAUCUAAUCUCUCCCACCCCUCCCUCGAUUUUCAGAUAGGAAUGGACUAGAUGCUUUAUGAUUUGUGAAUGUCAUGUGUCAUCCAUCAGGGUGGGUCUUAACUCCUAGCCCGUGAAAUCUGAUCUUAUAAAAUUAUUUUCCGUGGCAAACACCACUUCGUUCCAACCAGCACAUCUUUAUCAGGUUGAUGUUUCCCGUGCCUGCUUUUAUAGUCUCAAUAGACUAUGAUGUGCACUUAUAUUGGAGGUGUAUUUAUUUAUUUAUCUAUCUGAUAUCCGGGGCGAGGCACUCUGUUGGCCAUGCACUGGUGGUAGUCCUGUCGAAUGUGUUUUUGUUACAAACAUUAACACAUGGACACCACCGAAAAUACCUACGCAAUGUCAUAUAAGACAACAAGAUAAUUUCCCCGCUCGUUGCAGCGGGAAUAUAAAGAUUAAUUGCAGAUGAGUUAUAUAUGAAGGAAAAGAUUUAAAUAAAAAGAUACUCCCUCCGUCCCAUAAUGUAAGACGGUUUUUGUCUCUAGUGUAGUGUCAAAAAACGUCUUAGAUUAUGAAACGGAGGGAGUACUAUUUUUUAUAUUGAAAUAUUCUGUACUUGCAUUGUGCGAAUAAAGAGUAUGCAUGUAUACCGUACAAUAGCAUCUGCAACAAUUUAAUCAGGGCAUUUCACAACCUUCAAAGAGUAGACAAAUUCAAUAAUGACCUAUUGUACUACAUAUGUUUGUAAAGGACUUCUUGAGAGAUGCAACAAUGAAGAAAAAGUUAAAAUCUAGUAUCAUACAGAAAAUAUAUAACAACGCUCCAGCAGUCGAGAUACAUGUAUCAUAUUUUCCCGGAAUGUCAAUGUCACUUGAAAGUACCAUCACCUAGAAGAACAUGAAAGUGCUGUGGGCGUUUACCUGUACAUCAAGGGAAGGAUUGUUUCAUGAAAUCCACAUGGAUAAAUAAUUUUUAUGUAGCUAAUACUUAACAAAGGAUCAAAUUUGAGUUCAUUCAAAUUGAUAUAUGUGGACUGCUAGAAACAAAAAAGGAAAAAUUAUAAAUAGAUCUACACAUAUGUACAAAAUUGAUAAAUGUGAAAGAAAAUAGCGCAGAUAAAAUAUUGAUGUUAUGGAAGAUCUGAAGGUACAUACCUAGAAUAUUGAGAGUUUACUAAAAACAGGGCAUUGUGCCACCAAGCUUAGGCAUGAGGUGAGCAUCAAUAACCCUAAGAAACAAAGGAAAUGAAACCCACAGAGAAGAAAUACUCAGAUAUUGCACUGGCAACAAAGUAUGUGUUACUACUACAUCCAAUUUUGGAGGUUUGUCAUUGUAUAAACAGUUGGUGAGCGUGCCGGAAAGCUCGAGUGAUAUUGCUGAAAAGGCAAGAGAAAGAACAUCCAUCUAUUAGAAAUGAAUCAUAUAUACUUUGUUGGACAAAAUGAUAAAAUCAUAACCAGGAAUCAGAACAUUUGAAUGUGAAAUAGCAAUUGACUAUAAUAUUGAACGAAAUUGAGAUUGAAAAAAUUGCUACCUCGAGUCCUUGACUCAACUGAGAGAUCUAUGGGAACCAAAAAGUUUCAUGCAAUUUAUCCAUGUUUAGAUAAUACAAAUAUGCAGACUAAUUAAGUUGUGUAGUAGCCAGCUCAUAUAUAAACGAAGGUAGAAACUGGAGUGAUCAAACAUAUCUGGAUUGAUGUGCAAAGGCUAUGGUGACUUACAUGCUUGUAUUCAAUCAUCAUGAAGUGGGUUGGUGUGAUACGUAUCCAUGUUCGUCCUAUUCGUCAUAAGAACAGAUCCAGGGGGAAUAACAAAUUAACUUGUACUCCGAACUAAAACCACGACGAGUAAUUUGGAACGGAGGGAGUACAUCCUAUAGUUUAAUCACGUGCUCCUUGACCUCCAGAAAAUGUAGAUCGAGGAUGAUACCGCCAGCCACCAGUGGGGAGUAAGAAUGAGCAGUUGCUGCUGAUUUGGGAUUCCUACUUGGCCGGUGUUAGAAGGGAGGAAGAGGUUUGGUGGAAUAGUUCGUUGUAUUGCUUUAGCCUCGUGGGCAUAUAUAUAGGAGUAUAAUGACCAACUUGGAGUACAAGACAAGGUAGGAACAAAUCCUAGUCUAUUCUAUACUUCCUAAUAUACAUUAUACUCAACAUCCCCCCGCAGUCACAACGGUAGCGACACAGACGGUGAGACUAGAGAAGAAUCGGAAGGGAAGCCGACGGACAGCCCCCUCCCCCCAGUCGUAACGGUCAAUGCAUCGCGGAGUCGUGGCUGGAGUGAAAACCGACGAGGUAGCCCUUUGUGCCAAUUUGUCGAUGUAGCCGAGAGCGGAGGGUGGUGUAGCCGUGGUCGAGGUAACCGUGCGAAGAAUGCCGUGGUCGAUGUCGAGUUGGGGAGCCGGUGUCGAGGAUGUCGCCGUGGAGCCGCGGGCGCAAGGAGGCGCCGAGUUAGCAUGGGCGCAAUGGUGUCGAAGUAGUGGUGCACCGAGAAGAAGAUGUUGUUACACGUCGCGGCGGGUUUGCCAAGCCCGGGGAUACAUCAUGAACGAAGGCACGCACCGGUGUUGCCAGCACCGGGUGAUACGUCCAUUUUGCAUCAUGCUUUGAUAUUGAUAUUUAUUGCAUUAUGGGCUGUUAUUACACGUUAUGUCACAGUACUUAUGCCUUUUCUCUCUUAUUUUACAAGGUUUACAUGAAGAGGGAGAAUGUCGGCAGCUGGAAUUCUGGGCUGGAAAAGGAGCAAAUAUUAGAGACCUAUUCUGCACAACUCCAAAAGUCCUAAAACUCCACGAAAGUUAUUUUUGGAAAAUAUUAGAAAUACUGGAUGAAGAAAAUACCAGAGGGGGGCCAUGUUGGAAAUAUGCCCUAGAGGCAAUAAUAAAAGCAUUAUUAUUAUAUUUCUUUGUUCAAGAUAAUUGUCUUUAUUCAUGCUGUAAUUGUGUUAUCCGGAAAUCGUAAUACAUGUGUGAAUAAUAGACACCAACAUGUCCCUAGUAAGCCUCUAGUUGACUAGCUCGUUGAUCAACAGAUAGUCAUGAUUUCCUGACUAUGGACAUUGGAUGUCAUUGAUAACGAGAUCACAUCAUUAGGAGAAUGAUGUGAUGGACAAGACCCAAUCCUAAACAUAGCACAAGAUCGUAUAGUUCGUUUGCUAGAGUUUUCCAAUGUCAAAGUAUCUUUUCCUUAGACCAUGAGAUCAUGUAACUCCCGGAUACCGUAGGAGUGCUUUGCGUGUGCCAAACGUCACAACGUAACUGGGUGACUAUAAAGGUAUACUACGGGUAUCUCCGAAAGUGUCUGUUGGGUUGACAUGGAUCAAGACUGGGAUUUGUCACUUCGUAUGACGGAGAGGUAUCACUGGGCCCACUUGGUAAUGCAUCAUCAUAAUGAGCUCAAAGUGACCAAGUGUUUGGUCACGGGAUCAUGCAUUACGGCAUGAGUAAAGUGACUUGCCGGUAACAAGAUUGAACGAGGUAUUGGGAUACCGACGAUCGAAUCUCGGGCAAGUAACAUAUCGAUUGACAAAGGGAAUUGUAUACGGGGUUGCUUGAAUCCUCGACAUCGUGGUUCAUCCGAUGAGAUCAUAGAGGAGCAUGUGGGAGCCAACAUGGGUAUCCAGAUCCCGCUGUUGGUUAUUGACCGGAGAGCGAUCUCGGUCAUGUCUACAUGUCUCCCGAACCCGUAGGGUCUACACACUUAAGGUUCGGUGACGCUAGGGUUGUAGGGAUAUGUAUAUGCAGUAACCCGAAUGUUGUUCGGAGUCCCGGAUGAGAUCCCGGACGUCACGAGGAGUUCCGGAAUGGUCCGGAGGUAAAGAUUUAUAUAUGGGAAGUCCUGUUUCGGCCAUCAGGACAAGUUUCGGGGUCAUCGGUAUUGUACCGGGACCACCGGAAGGGUCCUGGGGUCCACCAGGUGGGGCCACCUGUCCCGGGGGGCCACAUGGGCAGUAGGGGGUGCGCCUUGGCCUACAUGGGCCAAGGGCACCAGCCCCAAGAGGCCCCUGCGCCUAGGGUUUCAAGGAGGAAGAGUCCUAGGAGGGGAAGGCACCUCCUAGGUGCCUUGGGGAGGAGGGAUUCCUCCCCCUUGGCCGCACCCCCCUAGGAGAUUGGAUAUCCUAGGGCUGCCCCCCCCUUGGCCCUGCUAUAUAUAGUGGGGGAAGGAGGGCUCUUCAUCCACGCCUUUGGUUGCCUCCUUCUCCCUCUCCAAUACCUCCUCCUCCUCCAUAGUGCUUGGCGAAGCCCUGACGGAGUACUGCAGCUCCAUCACCACCACGCCGUCGUGCUGCUACUGGAGCCAUCUUCCUCAACCUCUCCUUUCCCCUUGCUGGAUCAAUAAGAAGGAGACAUCACUGCUCCGUACGUGUGUUGAACGCGGAGGUGCCGUCCGUUCGGUGCUAGGAUCUCCGGUGAUUUGGAUCACAUCGUGUUCGACUACCUCAUCCCCGUUCUUUGAACGCUUCUGCUCGCGAUCUACAAGGUACGUAGAUGCAUCCAAUCACUCAUUGCUAGAUGAACUCAUAGAUGGAUCUUGGUGAAACCGUAGGAAAUUUUUUGUUUUCUGCAACGUUCCCCAACAGUGGCAUCAUGAGCUAGGUCUAUGCGUAGUUCUUCUUGCGCGAGUAGAACACAAUUUGUUGUGGGCGUAGAUGUUGUCAACUUUCUUGCCGCUACUAGUCUUAUCUUGCUUCAACGGUAUUGUGGGAUGAAGCGGCCCGGACCAACCUUACACGUACGCUUACGUGAGACCGGUUCCACCGACUAACAUGCACUAGUUGCAUAAGGUGGCUGGCGGGUGUCUGUCUCUCCUACUUUAGUUGGAGCGGAUUCGAUGAAAAGGGUCCUUAUGAAGGGUAAAUAGAAGUUGACAAAUCACGUUGUGGUUUCACGUAGGUAAGAAAACGUUCUUGCUAGAACCCUACUUCAGCCACGUAAAACAUGCAACAACAAUUAGAGGUCGUCUAACUUGUUUUUGCAGCAAGUGCUUUGUGAUAUGAUAUGGCCAAAGUUGUGAUGAAUGAUGAAUGAUCUAUAUGUGAUGUAUGAGAUAUUCAUGCUAUUGUAAUAGGAAUCACGACUUGCAUGUCGAUGAGUAUGACAACCGGCAGGAGCCAUAGGAGUUGUCUUUAUUUUUUGUAUGACCCGCGUGUCAUUGAGAAACGCCAUGUAAAUUACUUUACUUUAUUGCUAAACGCGUUAGCCAUAGUAGUAGAAGUAAUAGUUGGCGAGCAACUUCAUGGAGACACGAUGAUGGGGAUCAUGAUGAUGGAGAUCAUGGUGUCAAGCCGGUGACAAGAUGAUCAUGGAGCCCCAAUAUGGAGAUCAAAGGACCUAUGUGAUAUUGGCCAUAUCAUGUCACUAUUAUUAUUUGAUUGCAUUUGAUGUUUAUCAUGUUUUGCAUCUUGUUUACUUAAAACGACGGUAGAAAAUAAGAUGAUCCCUCAUAAUAAUUUCAAGAAAGUGUUCCCCCUAACUGUGCACCGUUGCGACAGUUCGUUGUUUCAAUGCACCACGUGAUGAUCGGGUGUUUGAUUCAAAACGUUCACAUACAACGGGUGUAAGACAGAUUUACACAUGCAAACACUUAGGUUGACUUGAUGAGCCUAGCAUGUGUAUAGACAUGGCCUCGGAACACACAAGACCGAAAGGUCGAGCAUGAGUCGUAUAGAAGACACAAUCAACAUGAAGAUGUUCACCGACGUUGACUAGUCCGUCUCACGUGAUGAUCGGACACGGCCUAGUUGACUCGGAUCAUGUUAUACUUAGAUGACUAGAAGAGGGAUGUCUAUCUAAGUGGGAGUUCAUUAAAUAAUUUGAUUAGAUGAACUUAAUUAUCAUGAACUUAGUCUAAAAUCUUUACAAUAUGUCUUGUAGAUCAAAUGGCCAACGUAGUCCUCAACUUCAACGCGUUCCUAGAGAAAACCAAGCUGAAAGACGAUGGCAGCAACUAUACGGACUGGGUCCGGAACCUGAGGAUCAUCCUCAUAGUUGCCAAGAAAGAUUAUGUCCUACAAGCACCGCUGGGUGACGCACCUGUUCUCCCUGCAGAACAAGACGUUAUGAACGCUUGGCAGGCACGUACCGAUGACUACUCCCUCGUUCAGUGCGGCAUGCUUUACAGCCUAGAGCCGGGGCUCCAAAAGCAUUUUGAGAGACAUGGAGCAUAUCAGAUGUUCGAAGAGCUGAAAAUGGUUUUCCAAGCUCAUGCCCGGGUCGAGAGAUAUGAAGUCUCCGACAAAUUCUUCAGCUGUAAGAUGGAGGAAAAUAGUUCUGUCAGUGAGCACAUACUCACUAUGUCUGGUUUACAUAACUGCUUGACUCAGCUGGGAGUUAAUCUCCCGGAUGAUGCGGUCAUUGACAGAAUCCUCCAGUCGGUUCCACCGAGCUACAAGAGCUUUGUGAUGAACUUCAAUAUGCAGGGGAUGGAAAAGACCAUUCCUGAAGUAUUUGCUAUGAUGAAAUCAGCAGAGGUAGAAGUCAAGAAGGAACAUCAAGUGUUGAUGGUGAAUAAAACCACUAAGUUCAAGAAGGGCAAGGGUAAAAAGAACUUCAAGAAGGACGGCAAGGGAGUUGCCGCGCCCGGCAAGCAAGCUGCCGGGAAGAAGCCAAAGAAUGGACCCAAGCCCGAGACUGAGUGCUUUUAUUGCAAGGAAAGUGGUCACUGGAAGCAAAACUGCCCCAAAUACUUAGCGGAGAAGAAGGCCGGCAAAACAAAAGGUAUAUAUGAUAUACAUGUAAUUGAUGUGUACCUUACUAGUACCCGUAGUAGCUCCUGGGUAUUUGAUACCGGUGCAGUUGCUCACAUUUGUAACUCAAAGCAGGGGCUGCGGAAUAAGCGGAGACUGGCAAAGGACGAGGUGACGAUGCGUGUCGGGAAUGGUUCCAAGGUCAAUGUGAUCGCCGUCGGCACGCUACCUCUGUAUUUACCUUCGGGAUUAGUUUUAAACCUUAAUAAUUGUUAUUUAGUGCCAGCUUUGAGCAUGAACAUUGUAUCAGGAUCUCGUUUAAUUCGAGAUGGCUACUCAUUUAAAUCCAAGAAUAAUGGUUGUUCUAUUUAUAUGAGAGAUAUGUUUUAUGGUCAUGCUCCUAUGGUGAAUGGUUUAUUCUUAAUGAAUCUCGAGCGUAAUGCUACACAUAUUCAUAGUGUGAGUACCAAAAGAUCUAAAGUUGAUAAUGAUAGUCCCACAUACUUGUGGCACUGCCGCCUUGGUCACAUAGGUGUCAAACGCAUGAAGAAGCUCCAUGCAGAUGGACUUUUAGAGUCUCUUGAUUACAAAUCAUUUGACACGUGCGGACCAUGCCUCAUGGGUAAGAUGACCAAGACUCCAUUCUCAGGAACAAUGGAGCGAGCAGCCAACUUAUUGGAAAUCAUACAUACUGAUGUGUGCGGUCCAAUGAGUGUUGAGGCUCGCGGUGGCUAUCGUUAUGUUCUCACCCUCACUGAUGAUUUGAGUAGUUAUGGGUAUAUCUACCUAAUGAAACACAAGUCUGAAACCUUUGAAAAGUUCAAGGAAUUUCAGAGUGAGGUUGAGAAUCAACGUGACAGGAAAAUCAAGUUUCUACGAUCAGAUCGUGGAGGAGAAUACUUGAGUCACGAAUUUGGCACACACUUAAGAAAAUGUGGAAUAGUUUCACAACUCACGCCGCCUGGAACACCUCAGCGUAAUGGUGUGUCAGAACGUCGUAAUCGCACUCUAUUAGAUAUGGUGCGAUCUAUGAUGUCUCUUACCGAUUUACCGCUAUCUUUUUGGGGCUAUGCUUUAGAGACUGCCGCAUUCACUUUAAAUAGGGCUCCGUCAAAAUCCGUUGAGACGACACCGUUUGAAUUAUGGUUUGGGAAGAAACCUAAGCUGUCGUUUCUGAAAGUUUGGGGAUGCGAUGAUUAUGUCAAGAAACUUCAACCUGAAAAGCUCGAACCCAAGUCGGAAAAAUGCGUCUUCAUAGGAUACCCUAAAGAAACUGUUGGGUAUACCUUCUACCUCAGAUCCGAAGGCAAGAUCUUUGUUGCCAAGAAUGGAUUCUUUUUAGAGAAAGAGUUUCUCUCGAAAGAAGUAAGUGGGAGGAAAGUAUAACUUGAUGAAGUGUUACCUCUUGAACCGGAAAAUGGCACAACUCAAGAAAAUGUUCCUGAGGUUCCUGCACCUACUAGAGAGGAAGUUAUUGAUGAUGAUCAAGAUACUUCUGAUCAAGCUCCUACUGAAAUUCGAAGGUCCACAAGGACACGUUCCACACCAGAGUGGUACGGCAACCCUGUCUUGGAAAUCAUGUUGUUAGACAACGGUGAACCUUCGAACUAUGAAGAAGCGAUGGCGGGCCCGGAUUCUGACAAAUGGCUAGAAGCCAUGAAAUCCGAGAUAGGAUCCAUGUAUGAAAAUGAAGUAUGGACUUUGACUGACUUGCCCGUUGAGCGGUGAGCCAUAGAAAAUAAAUGGAUCUUUAAGAGGAAGACAGACGCGGAUGGUAAUGUGACCAUCUAUAAAGCUCGGCUUGUCGCUAAGGGUUAUCGACAAGUUCAAGGGGUUGACUACGAUGAGACUUUCUCACCGGUAGCGAAGCUGAAGUCCGUCCGAAUCAUGUUAGCAAUUGCCGCAUUCUACGAUUAUGAAAUAUGGCAAAUGGACGUCAAAACGACAUUCCUUAAUGGUUUCCUUAAGGAAGAAUUGUAUAUGAUGCAGCCGGAAGGUUUUGUCGAUCCUAAGAAUGCUGACAAGGUGUGCAAGCUCCAACGCUCGAUUUAUGGGCUGGUGCAAGCAUCUCGGAGUUGGAACAUUCGCUUUGAUGAGAUGAUCAAUGCGUUUGGGUUUACGCAGACUUAUGGAGAAGCCUGCGUUUACAAGAAAGUGAGUGGGAGCUCUGUAGCAUUUCUCAUACUAUAUGUAGAUGACAUACUUUUGAUGGGAAAUGAUAUAGAACUCUUGGACAGCAUCAAGGCCUAUUUGAAUAAGAGUUUUUCAAUGAAGGACCUUGGAGAAGCUGCUUAUAUAUUAGGCAUCAAGAUCUAUAGAGAUAGAUCAAGACACCUCAUAGGUCUUUCACAAAGCACAUACCUUGAUAAGAUAUUGAAGAAGUUCAAUAUGGAUCAAUCUAAGAAGGGGUUCUUGCCUGUGUUACAAGGUGUGAAAUUGAACUCAGCUCAAUGUCCAACCACGGCAGAAGAUAUAGAAGAGAUGAGUGUCAUCCCCUAUGCCUCAGCCAUAGGUUCUAUUAUGUAUGCCAUGCUGUGUACCAGACCUGAUGUAAACCUUGCCGUAAGUUUGGUAGGAAGGUACCAAAGUAAUCCCGGCAAGGAACACUGGACAGCGGUCAAGAAUAUCCUAAAGUACCUGAAAAGGACUAAGGAAAUGUUUCUCGUUUAUGGAGGUGACGAAGAGCUCGUCGUAAAGGGUUACGUCGACGCUAGCUUCGACAUAGAUCUGGAUGACUCUAAGUCACAAACCGGAUACGUGUAUAUUUUGAAUGGUGGGGCAGUAAGCUGGUGCAGUUGCAAGCAGAGCGUCGUGGCGGGAUCUACAUGUGAAGCGGAGUACAUGGAAGCCUCGGAGGCAGCACAUGAAGCAAUAUGGGUGAAGGAGUUCAUCAGCGACCUAGGAGUCAUACCCAAUGCGUCGGGGUAUCAAACUCUUCUGUGACAACACUGGAGCUAUUUCACUUGCCAAGGAGCCCAGGUUUCACAAGAAGACAAGACACAUCAAGCGUCGCUUCAACUCCAUUCGUGAAAAUGUUCAAGAUGGAGACAUAGAGAUUUGUAAAGUACAUACGGACCUGAAUGUAGCGGAUCCGUUGACUAAACCUCUCCCUAGAGCAAAACAUGAUCAACACCAGAAUUCCAUGGGUGUUUGAUUCAUCACAGUGUAACUAGAUUAUUGACUCUAGUGCAAGUGGGAGACUGUUGGAAAUAUGCCCUAGAGGCAAUAAUAAAAGCAUUAUUAUUAUAUUUCUUUGUUCAUGAUAAUUGUCUUUAUUCAUGCUGUAAUUGUGUUAUCCGGAAAUCGUAAUACAUGUGUGAAUAAUAGACACCAACAUGUCCCUAGUAAGCCUCUAGUUGACUAGCUCGUUGAUCAACAGAUAGUCAUGAUUUCCUGACUAUGGACAUUGGAUGUCAUUGAUAACGAGAUCACAUCAUUAGGAAAAUGAUGUGAUGGACAAGACCCAAUCCUAAACAUAGCACAAGAUCGUAUAGUUUGUUUGCUAGAGUCUUCCAAUGUCAAAGUAUCUUUUCCUUAGACCAUGAGAUCGUGUAACUCCCGGAUACCGUAGGAGUGCUUUGGGUGUGCCAAACGUCACAACAUAACUGGGUGACUAUAAAGGUAUACUACGGGUAUCUCCGAAAGUGUCUGUUGGGUUGACAUGGAUCAAGACUGGGAUUUGUCACUCCGUAUGACGGAGGGGUAUCACUGGGCCCACUCGGUAAUGCAUCAUCAUAAUGAGCUCAAAGUGACCAAGUGUCUGGUCAUGGGAUCAUGCAUUACGGCAUGAGUAAAGUGACUUGCCGGUAACGAGAUUGAACGAGGUAUUGGGAUACCGACGAUCGAAUCUCGGGCAAGUAACAUAUCGAUUGACAAAGGGAAUUGUAUACGGGGUUGCUUGAAUCCUCGACAUCGUGGUUCAUCCGAUGAGAUCAUCGAGGAGCAUGUGGGAGCCAACAUGGGUAUCCAGAUCCCGCUGUUGGUUAUUGACCGGAGAGCGAUCUCGGUCAUGUCUACAUGUCUCCCGAACCCGUAGGGUCUACACACUUAAGGUUCGGUGAUGCUAGGGUUGUAGGGAUAUGUAUAUGCAGUAACCCGACUGUUGUUCGGAGUCCCGGAUGAGAUCCGGACGUCACGAGGAGUUCCGGAAUGGUCUGGAGGUAAAGACUUAUAUAUGGUAAGUCCUGUUUCGGCCAUCGGGACAAGUUUCGGGGUCAUCGGUAUUGUACCGGGACCACCGGAAGGGUCCCGGGGGUCCACCGGGUGGGGCCACCUGUCCCGGGGGGCCACAUGGGCAGUAGGGGGUGCACCUUGGCCUACAUGGGCCAAGGGCACCAGCCCCAAGAGGCCCAUGCGCCUAGGGUUUCAAGGAGGAAGAGUCCUAGGAGGGGAAGGCACCUCCUAGGUGCCUUGGGGAGGAGGGAUUCCUCCCCCUUGGCCGCACCCCCCUAGGAGAUUGGAUCUCCUAGGGCCGGCGCCCCCCCUUGGCCCUCCUAUAUAUAGUGGGGGAAGGAGGGCUCUUCAUCCACGCCUUUGGUUGCCUCCUUCUCCCUCUCCAAUACCUCCUCCUCCUCCAUAGUGCUUGGCGAAGCCCUGACGGAGUACUGCAGCUCCAUCACCACCACGCCGUCGUGCUGCUGCUGGAGCCAUCUUCCUCAACCUCUCCUUUCCCCUUGCUGGAUCAAGAAGAAGGAGAGGUCGCUGCUCCGUACGUGUGUUGAACGCGGAGGUGCCGUCCGUUCGGUGCUAGGAUCUCCGGUGAUUUGGAUCACAUCGUGUUCGACUACCUCAUCCCCGUUCUUUGAACACUUCCACUCGCGAUCUACAAGGUACGUAGAUGCAUCCAAUCACUCGUUGCUAGAUGAACUCAUAGAUGGAUCUUGGUGAAACCGUAGGAAAUUUUUUGUUUUCUGCAACGUUCCCCAACAGCCCACACCAUGGCCACGAGGGUCGGGGCGCGCCCUACCCCCCUGGGCGCGCCCCCUUGCCUCGUGGGCCCCCUGGUGGCCCUUCAGUGCCCAUCUUCUACUAUAUGAAGUUUAUCGUCCGAGAAGAAAUCAGAAGCAAGUUUACGGGGCGAGACUCCACCGCCAUGAGGCGGAACCUUGGCGGAACCAAUCUAGGGCUCCGGCGGAGCUGUUCUGCCGGGGAAACUUCCCUCCGGGAGGGGGAAAUCAUCACCAUCGUCAUCAGCAACGAUCCUCCCAUCGGGAGAGGGUCAAUAUUCAUCAACAUCUUCACCAGCACCAUCUCCUCUCAAAACCUAGUUCAUCUCUUGUAUCCAAUUCUUGUCUCUAAGUCUGAGAUAGGUACCUGUAGGAUGCUAGUAGUGUUGAUUACUCCUUGUAGUUGAUGCUAGUUGGUUUACUUGGUGGAAGAUUAUAUGUUCAGAUCCUAUAUGCAUAUUAAUACCCUCUGAUUAUGAACAUUAAUAUGAUUUGUGAGUAGUUACGUUUGUUCCUAAGGACAUGGGAGAAGUCUUGCUAUUAGUAGUCAUGUGAAUUUGGUAUUCGUUCGAUAUUUUGAUGAGAUGUAUGUUGUCUCUCCUCUAGUGGUGUCAUGUGAACGUCGACUACAUGACACUUCACCAUUAUUUGGGCCUAGAGGAAGGCAUUCGGAAGUAAUAAGUAGAUGAUGGGUUGCUAGAGUGACAGAAGUUUAAACCCUAGUUUAUGCGUUGCUUCGUAAGGGGCUGAUUUGGAUCCAUAUGUUUCAUGAUGUGGUUAGGUUUACCUUAAUACUUCUUUUGUAGUUGCAGAUGCUUGCAUUAGGAGUUAAUCAUAAGUGGGAUGCUUGUCCAAGUUGUUGGGGAUCAUAGCAGAAAUUUAAAAUUUUCUACGCAUCACCUAGAUCAAUCUAUGGAGUGAUCUAGCAACGAGAGAGAGAGGAGUGCAUCUACAUACCCUUGUAGAUCGCGAGCGGAAGCGUUCAAGAGAACGGGGUUGAUGGAGUCGUACUCGUCGUGAUCCAAAUCACCAAUGAUCCUAGCGCUGAACGGACGGCACCUCCGCAUUCAACACACGUACGGAGCGGAGAUGUCUCCUCCUUCUUGAUCCAGCAAGGGGGAAAGAGAAGUUGAUGGAGAUCCAGCAGCACGACAGCGUGGUGGUGGAAGCAUCGGAAUUCCAGCAGGGCUUCACCAAGUGCUACUGGAGGAGGAAGAGGUGUCACGGGAGGGAGAGGAAGGCGCUAGGGCUUAGGGUGCGGCUGCCCUCCCUCCCCUCCACUAUAUAUAGGGACUAGGGGGCGCAUGCCCCCUUGGAGAUCCCAUCUAGAGGGGGGGCUCCCAAGGGUUUAGGGUGCGGCUGCCCUCCCUCCCUCCACUAUAUAUAGGGGCUAGGGGGGGCACAUGCGCCCCCCUACGCUACUCUCCGGUUCAAGAGGCAAUACUUCAUCAAGUUCUACUUUCCUCCCACUUACUUCUUUCGAGAGAAACUCUUUCUCUAGAAAGGAUCCAUUCUUGGCAACAAAGAUCUUGCCUUCGGAUCUGAGGUAGAAGGUAUACCCAAUAGUUUCCUUAGGGUAUCCUAUGAAGACGCAUUUUUCCGAUUUGGGUUCGAGCUUUUCAGGUUGAAGUUUCUUGACAUAAGCAUCGCAUCCCCAAACUUUCAGAAACGACAACUUAGGUUUCUUCCCAAACCAUAAUUCAUACGGUGUCGUCUCAACGGAUUUCGAUGGAGCCCUAUUUAAAGUGAAUGCGGCAGUCUCUAUAGCAUAACCCCAAAAUGAUAGCGGUAGAUCGGUAAGAGACAUCAUAGAUCGCACCAUAUCCAAUGGAGUGCGAUUACGACGUUUGGACACACCAUUAUGCUGAGGUGUUCCAGGCGGCGUGAGUUGUGAAACAAUUCUAGAUUUCCUUAAGUGCGUGCCAAAUUCGUGACUCAAAUAUUCUCCCCCACGAUCUGAUCGUAAGACCUUGAUUUUCCUGUCACAUUGAUUCUCAACCUCACUCUGAAAUUCCUUGAACUUUUCAAAGGUCUCAGACUUGUGUUUCAUUAAGUAGACAUACCCAUAUCUACUUAAGUCAUCAGUGAGGGUGAGAACAUAACGAUAACCACCGCGAGCCUCAACACUCAUUGGACCGCACACAUCAGUAUGUAUGAUUUCCAAUAAGUUGGUUGCUCGCUCCAUUGUUCCGGAGAACGGAGUCUUGGUCAUUUUACCCAUGAGGUAUGGUUCGCACGUGUCAAAUGAUUCAUAAUCAAGAGACUCCAAAAGUCCAUCUGCAUGGAGUUUCUUCAUGCGUCUGACACCAAUGUGACCAAGGCGGCAGUGCCACAAGUAUGCGGCACUAUCAUUAUCAACCUUACAUCUUUUGGCAUUCACACUGUGAAUAUGUGUAACAUCACGUUCGAGAUUCAAUAAGAAUAAACCAUUGACCAGCGGGGCAUGACCAUAAAACAUGCCUCUCAUAUAAAUAGAACAACUAUUAUUCUCAGAUUUAAAUGUGUAGCCAUCUCGCAUUAAACGAGAUCCAGAUACAAUGUUCAUUCUCAAAGCUGGUACUAAAUAACAAUUAUUGAGGUUUAAAACUAAUCAUGUAGGUAAAUGUAGAGGUAGCGUGCCGACGGCGAUCACAUCGACCUUGAAACCAUUCCCGACGCGCAUCGUCACCUCAUCCUUCGCCAGUCUCUGCUUAUUCCGCAGCUCCUGUUUUGAGUUACAAAUAUGAGCAACCGCACCGGUAUCAAAUACCCAGGAGCUACUACGAGCGCUGGUUAGGUACACAUCAAUAACAUGUAUAUCACAUAUACCUUUGGUAUUGCCGGCCUUCUUAUCCGCUAAGUACUUGGGGCAGUUCCGCUUCCAGUGACCGUUUCCCUUGCAAUAAAAGCACUCAGUCUCAGGCUUGGGUCCAUCCUUUGGCUUCUUCCCGGCAACUGGCUUACCGGGUGCGGCAACUCCCUUGCCGUACUUCUUGAAGUUCUUCUUACCCUUGCCUUUCUUAAACUUAGUGGUUUUAUUCACCAUCAACACUUGAUGUUCCUUUUUGAUCUCCACCUCCGCUGAUUUCAGCAUCAUCCGGGAGAUUAACUCCCAGCUGAGAUAAGCGGUUGUGCAACCCAGACAUUUUGAGUAUGUGCUCGCUGACAGAACUAUUCCCCUCCAUCUUACAACUGUAGAACUUGUCGGAGACGUCAUAUCUCUCGACCUGGGCAUGAGCUUGUAAAACCAUUUUCAGCUUUUGGAGCCCCGGUUCUAAGCUGUAAAGCAUGCCGCACUGAACCAGGGAGUAAUCAUCACUACCCGACUGCCAGGCGUUCAUAACAUCUUGAGUUGCUGGGAAAACAGGUGCUUCACCUAGCGGUGCAUCAAGGACAUAUGCUUUCUUGGCAGCUGGAUAAUAAUCAGGUUACGGACCCAGUCCGUGUAGUUGCUGCCAUCGUCUUUCAGCUUGGUUUUCUCUAGGAACGCGUUGAAGUUGAGGGCAACACUAGCGUGAGCCAUUUGAUCUACAUGUUAUUGAUGUGUACCUUACUAGAGCUCGCAGUAGCACCUGGGUAUUUAAUACUGGUUCUGUUGCUAAUAUUUGCAACUCGAAAUAUGGACUACGGAUUAAGCGAACACCGGCGAAGGACGAGGUGACGAUGCGCGUGGGAAAUGGUUCCAAAGUCGAUGUGAUCGCGAUCGGCACGCUACCUCUACAUCUACCUUCGGGAUUAGUUUUAGACCUAAAUAAUUGUUAUUUGGUGCCAGCGUUGAGCAUGAACAUUAUAUCUGGAUCUUGUUUGAUGCGAGAUGGUUAUUCAUUUAAAUCAGAGAAUAAUGGUUGUUCUAUUUAUAUGAGUAAUAUCUUUUAUGGUCAUGAACCCUUGAAGAUUGGUCUAUUUUUGAUGAAUCUCGAUAGUAGUGAUACACAUAUUCAUAAUGUUGAAGCCAAAAGAUGCAGAGUUGAUAAUGAUAGUGCAACUUAUUUGUGGCACUGUCGUUUAGGUCAUAUCGGUGUAAAGCGCAUGAAGAAACUCCAUACUGAUGGACUUUUGGAACCACUUGAUUAUGAAUCACUUGGUACUUGCGAACCGUGCCUCAUGGGCAAGAUGACUAAAACACCGUUCUCCGGUACUAUGGAGAGAGCAACAGAUUUGUUGGAAAUCAUACAUAGAGAUGUAUGUGGUCCAAUGAAUGUUGAGGCUCGUGGCGGAUAUCGUUAUUUUCUCACCUUCACAGAUGAUUUAAGCAGAUAUGGGUAUAUCUACUUAAUGAAACAUAAGUCUGAAACAUUUGAAAAGUUCAAAGAUUUUCAGAGUGAAGUUGAAAAUCAUCGUAACAAGAAAAUAGAGUUUCUACAAUCUGAUCGUGGAGGAGAAUAUUUGAGUUACGAGUUUGGUCUACAUUUGAAACAAUGCGGAAUAGUUUCACAACUCACGCCACCCGGAACACCACAGCGUAAUGGUGUGUCCGAACAUCGUAAUCAUACUUUACUUGAUAUGGUACGAUCUAUGAUGUCUCUUACUGAUUUACCGCUAUCAUUUUAGGGUUAUGCUUUAGAGACGACCGCAUUCACGUCAAAUAGGGCACCAUCAAAAUUCGUUGAGACGACGCCUUAUGAACUGUGGUUUGGCAAGAAACCAAAGUUGUCGUUUCUGAAAGUUUGGGGCUGCGAUGCUUAUGUGAAAAAGCUUCAACCUGAUAAGCUCGAACCCAAAUUGGAGAAAUGUGUCUUCAUAGGAUACCCAAAGGAAACUGUUGGGUACACCUUCUAUCACAAAUCCGAAGGCAAGACAUUCGUCGCUAAGAAUGGAUCCUUUCUAAAGAAGGAGUUUCUCUCGAAAGAAGUGAGUGGGAGGAAAGUAGAACUUGACGAGGUAACUGUACCUGCUCCCUUAUUGGAAAGUAGUUCAUCGCAUAAAUCAGUUUCUGCGACACCUACACCAAUUAGUGAGGAAGUUAAUGAUGCUGAUCAUGAAACUUCAGAUCAAGUAAUUACUGAACCUCGUAGAUCAACCAGAGUAAGAUCCACACCAGAGUGGUAUGGUAAUCAUGUUCUGGAAGUCAUGUUACUAGACCAUGAUGAACCUACGAACUAUGAAGAAGCGAUGGUGAGCCCAGAUUCCGCAAAAUGGCUUGAGGCCAUGAAAUCUAAGAUGGGAUCCAUGUAUGAGAACAAAGUGUGGACUUUGGUUGACUUGCCCGAUGAUCGGCAAGCAAUUGAGAAUAAAUGGAUCUUCAAGAAGAAGACUGACGCUGACGGUAAUGUUACUGUCUACAAAACUCGACUUGUCACAAAAGGUUUUCGACAAGUUCAAGGGAUUGACUACGAUGAGAACUUCUCACCCGUAGCGAUGCUUAAGUCUGUCCGAAUCAUGUUAGCGAUUGCCGCAUUUUAUGAUUAUGAAAUAUGGCAGAUGGAUGUCAAAACUGCAUUCCUGAACGGGUUUCUGGAAACAGAGUUGUAUAUGAUGCAACCGGAAGGUUUUGUCGAUCCAAAGGGAGCUAACAAAGUGUGCAAGCUCCAGCAAUCCAUUUAUGGACUGGUGCAAGCCUCUCGGAGUUGGAAUAAACGCUUUGAUAGUGUGAUCAAAGCAUUUGGUUUUAUACAGACUUUUGGAGAAGCCUGUAUUUACAAGAAAGUGAGUGGGACCUCUGUAGCAUUUCUGAUAUUAUAUGUGGAUGACAUAUUGCUGGUCGGAAAUGAUAUAGAAUUUCUGGAUAGCAUAAAGGGAUACUUGAAUAAGAGUUUUUCAAUGAAAGACCUCGGUGAAGCUGCUUACAUAUUGGGCAUUAAGAUCUAUAGAGAUAGAUCAAGACGAUUAAUUGGACUUUCACAAAGCACAUACCUUGACAAAGUUUUGAAGAAGUUCAAAAUGGAUCAGGCAAAGAAAGGGUUCUUGCGUGUGUUACAAGGUGUGAAGUUGAGUAAGACUCAAUACCCAACCACUGCAGAAGAUAGAGAGAAGAUGAAAGAUGUUCCCUAUGCUUCAGCCAUAGGCUCUAUCAUGUAUGCAAUGCUGUGUACCAGACCUGAUGUGUGCCUAGCUAUAAGUCUAGUAGGGAGGUACCAAAGUAAUCCAGGAGUGGAUCACUGGACAGCGGUCAAGAACAUCCUGAAAUACCUGAAAAGGACUAAGGAUAUGUUUCUUGUAUAUGGAGGUGACAAAGAGCUCAUCAUAAAUGGUUGCGUUGACGCAAGCUUUGACACUGAUCCGGACGAUUCUAAAUCGCAAACCGGAUACGUGUUUACAUUGAACAGUGGAGCUGUCAGAUGGUGCAGUUCUAAACAAAGCGUCGUGGCGGGAUCUACAUGUGAAGCGGAGUACAUAGCUGCUUCGAAAGCAGCAAAUGAAGGAGUCUGGAUGAAGGAGUUCAUAUCCGAUCUAGGUGUCAUACCUAGUGCAUCGGGUCCAAUGAAAAUCUUUUGUGACAAUACUGGUGCAAUUGCCUUGGCAAAGGAAUCCAGAUUUCACAAGAGAACCAAGCACAUCAAGAGACGCUUCAAUUCCAUUCGGGAUUUAGUCCAAGUGGGAGACAUAGAAAUUUGCAAGAUACAUACGGAUCUGAAUGUAGCAGACCCAUUGACUAAGCCUCUUCCACGAGCAAAACAUGAUCAACACCAAAGCUCCAUGGGUGUUAGAAUCAUUACUUUGUAAUCUAGAUUAUUGACUCUAGUGCAAGUGGGAGACUGAAGGAAAUAUGCCCUAGAGGCAAUAAUAAAGUUAUUAUUUAUUUCCUUAUAUCAUGAUAAAUGUUUAUUAUUCAUGCUAGAAUUGUAUUAACCGGAAACAUAAUACAUGUGUGAAUACAUAGACAAACAGAGUGUCACUAGUAUGCCUCUACUUGACUAGCUUGUUAAUCAAAGAUGGUUAUGUUUCCUAGCCAUAGACAUGUGUUGUCAUUUGAUUAACGGGAUCACAUCAUUGGGAGAAUGAUGUGAUUGAAAUGACCCAUUCCGUUAGCUUAGCACAUGAUCGUUUAGUAUGUUGCUAUUGCUUUAUUCAUGACUUAUACAUGUUCCUAUGACUAUGAGAUUAUGCAACUCCUGUUUACCGAAGGAACACUUUGUGUGCUACCAAACGUCACAAUGUAACUGGGUGAUUAUAAAGGUGCUCUACAGGUGUCUCCAAAGGUACAUGUUGAGUUGGCGUAUUUCGAGAUUAGGAUUUGUCACUCCGAUUGUCGGAGAGGUAUCUCUGGGCCCACUUGGUAAUGCACAUCACUUAAGCCUUGCAAGCAUUGCAACUAAUGAGUUGGUUGCGGGAUGAUGUAUUACGGAACGAGUAAAGAGACUUGCCGGUAACGAGAUUGAACUAGGUAUUAACAUUCCGACGAUCGAAUCUCGGGCAAGUAACAUACCGAUGACAAAGGGAACAACGUAUGUUGUUAUGUGGUCUGACCGAUAAAGAUCUUCGUAGAAUAUGUGGGAGCCAAUAUGAGCAUCCAGGUUCCGCUAUUGGUUAUCGACCGGAGACGUGUCUUGGUCAUGUCUACAUUGUUCUUGAACCCGUAGGUUCCGCACGCUUAACGUUACGAUGACAGUUUCAUUAUGAGUUUAUAUGUUUUGAUGUACCGAAGGUUUUUCGGAGUCCCGGAUGUGAUCACGGACAUGACAACGAGUCUCGAAAUGGUCGAGACAUGAAGAUUGAUAUAUUGGAAGCCUAUGUUUGGACAUCGGAAGUGUUCCGGGUGAAAUCGGCAUUUUACGGGAGUACCAGGAGGUUACCGGAACCCCCCGGUAACCUAAUGGGCCUUAAUGGGCCUAGUGGAGGAAGAGGAGAGGAGACCAAGGGGCAGCCGCGCGCCCCUCCCCCAAGUCCGAAUUGGACAAGGAGGGGGGGCGGCGCUCCCCCUUUCCUUUCCCCUCUCUCUCCCCUUCCCCCAAGUCCUAGUCCAACAUGGAAAAGGGGGGGAGUCCUACUCCCGGUAGGAGUAGGACUCCUCCUGGUGCGCCCCUUGCCUGGCCGCACCUCCUCCCCCUUGCUCCUUUAUAUAGGGGGCAGGGGGCACCCCAUAGACACAACAAUUAAUCAUUGAUUUCUUAGCCGUGUGCGGUGCCCCCCUCCACCAUAAUCCUCGAUAAUAUUGUAGCGGUGCUUAGGCGAAGCCCUGCGAUCGUAGAACAUCAAGAUCGUCAUCACGCCGUCGUGUUGACGGAACUCUUCCCCGACAUUCUGCUGGAUCGGAGUCCGGGGAUCUUCAUCAAGCUGAACGUGUGGUAGAACUCGGAGGUGACGUAGUUUCGGUGCUUGAUCGGUCGGGCCGUGAAGACGUACGACUACAUCAACCAUGUUGUCAUAACGCUUCCCCUUUCGGUCUACGAGGGUACGUGGACAACACUCUCCCCUCUCGUUGCUAUGCAUCACCAUGAUCUUGCGUGUGCGUAGGAAUUUUUUUGAAAUUACUACGUUUCCCAACAUUUAUUCUACCGUUGUUCUAAGCAAAUAAGAUGUAAAAACAUGAUAAACAUCACAUGCAAUCAAAUAGUGACAUGAUAUGGCCAAUAUCAUUUUGCUCCUUUUGAUCUCCAUCUUCGGGGCGACAUGAUCAUCAUCGUCACCGGCUUGACACCAUGAUCUCCAUCAUCAUGAUCCUUGUCAUCGUGUCUUCAUGAAGUUGUCUCGUCAACUAUUACUUCUACUACUAUGGCUAACGAUUUAGCAAUAAAGUAAAGUAAUUACAUGACGUUUAUGUUGAGACGCAGGUCAUAAAUAAAUUAAGACAACUCCUAUGGCUCCUGCCGGUUGUCAUACUCAUCGACAUGCAAGUCGUGAUUCCUAUUAAAACAACAUGAUCAAUCUCAUACAUCACAUCCUUUUGGCCAUAUCACAUCACACGAGAUAUGCUGCAAAAACAAGUUAGACGUACUCUAAUUGUUGUUGCAAUUUUUUUUACGUGGCUGCUAUAGGUUUCUUAGCAAGAACGUUUCUUACCUACACCAAAACCACAACGUGAUAUGCCAAUUUCCAUUUACCCUUUAUAAGGACCCUUUUCAUCGAAUCCGAUCCGACUAAAGUGGGAGAGACAGACACCCGCUAGCCACCUUAUGCAACUAGUGCAUGUCAGUCGGUGGAACCUGUCUCACGUAAGCGUACGUGUAAGGUUGGUCCGGGCCGCUUCAUCCCACGAUGCCGCCAAAUCAAGAUAAGACUAGUAACGACAAGUAAAUUGACAAAAUCGACGCCCACAACAACUUGUGUUCUACUCGUGCAUAGAAACUACGCAUAGACCUAGCUCAUGACGCCACUGUUGGGGAUCGUAGCAGAAAUUUAAAAUUUUCUACACAUCACCAAGAUCAAUCUAUGGAGUCAUCUAGCAACGAUAGAGAGAGGAGUGCAUCUACAUACCCUUGUAGAUCGCGAGCAGAAGCGUUCAAGAGAACGGGGUUGAUGGAGUCGUACUCGUCGUGAUCCAAAUCACCGAUGAUCCUAGCGCCGAACGAACGGCACCUCCGCGUUCUACACACGUAUGGAGCGGAGACGUCUGCUCCUUCUUGAUCCAGCAAGGGGGAAGGAGAAGUUGAUGGAGAUCCAGCAGCACGGCGGCGUGGUGGUGGAAGCAGCGGGAUUUCAGUAGGGCUUCUCCAAGCGCUACUGGAGGAGGAAGAGGUGUCACGGGAGGGAGAGGGAGGCGCCAGGGCUUAGGGUGCGGCUGCCCUCCCUCCCCUCCACUAUAUAUAGGGGCUAGGGGGCGCAUUCCCCCUUGCAGAUCCCAUCUAGAGGGGGGAGGCGGCAGCCCCCGGGGCAGCGGCCCCUCAGGGGGCAACGACCCCCUUAGGGUUUCCAACCAGGGGGCGCAUGCCCCCUCGGGUUUCGAACCCUAGGUGCCUUGGGCCCUUGGUUGGGGUGCACCAGCCCACCCGGGGCUGGUUCCCACGCCAUCCCAUGGAGCCCUCCAGGAUAGGUGGCCCCACCCGGUGAACCCCCCGGACCCUUCCAGUGGUCCCGAUACAAUACCGGUGACCCCCGAAACUCUCCCGGUGGCCGAAACUGGACUUCCUAUAUAUAAAUCUUUACCUCGGGACCAUUUCGGAACUCCUCGUGACAUCCGGUAUCUCAUCCGGGACUCUGGACAACUUUCGGUUAACCGCAUACUAAUAUCUCUAUAACUCUAGCGUCACCGAACCUUAAGUGUGUAGACCCUACGGGUUCGGGAGACACGUAGACAUGACCGAGACAACUCUCCGGUCAAUAAUCAACAGUGGGAUCUGGAUACCCAUGUUGGCUCCCACAUGCUCCAUGAUAAUCUCAUCGGAUGAACCACGAUGUCAAGGAUUCAAUCAAUCCUGUAUACAAUUCCCGUUGUCUAUCGGUACGAUACUUGCCCGAGAUUCGAUCAUCGGUAUACCGAUACCUUGUUCAAUCUCGUUACGGCAAGUCUCUUUACUCGUUCCCGUAACACAUCAUCCCGUGAACAACUCCUUGAUCACAUUGAGCUCAUUAUGAUGAUGUCCUACCGAGUGGGCCCAGAGAUACCUCUCUGUCAUACGGAGUGACAUAUCCCAGUCUCGAUUCAUGCCAACCCAACAGAUACUUUCGGGUAUACCUGUAGUGUACCUUUAUAGCCACCCAGUUACGUUGUGACGUUUGGCACACCCAAAGUACCCUUACGGUAUCCGGGAGUUGCACAAUCUCAUGGUCUAAGGAAAGGAUACUUGACAUUAGAAAAGCUUUAGCAGACGAAUUACACGAUCUUGUGCUAUGCUUAGGAUUGGGUCUUGUCCAUCACAUCAUUAUCCUAAUGAUGUGAUCCCGUUAUCAAUGACAUCCUAUGUCCAUGGUUAGGAAACCGUAACCAUCUAUUGAUCAACGAUCUAGUCAACUAGAGGCUCACUAGGGACAUGUUGUGGUCUAUGUAUUCACACAUGUAUUACGGUUUCCGGAUAACACAAUUAUAGCAUGAAUAAUAGACAAUUAUCAUGAACAAGGAAAUAUAAUAAUAACCUUUUUAUUAUUGCCUUUAGGGCAUAUUUCCAACACAAGUAAGGGCAGCACCCAAGGACCGGUCCACCCACAUAUCAAAUUAUCAAAGUACCAAACGCGAAUCAUAUGAACGUGAUGAAAACUAGCUUGAUGAUAAUUCCCAUGUGUCCUCGGGAGCGUUUUCCUUUAUAUAAGAAAUUGUCCAGGCUUGUCCUUUGCUACAAAAAGGAUUGGGCCACCUUGCUGCACCUUAUUUACUUUUAUUACUUGUUGCUCGUUACCAUUUACCUUAUCACAAAACUAUCUGUUACCGAUAAUUUUAGUGCUUGCAGAGAAUACCUUACUGAAAACCACUUGUCAUUUCCUUCUGCUCCUCGUUGGGUUCGACACUCUUACUUAUAGAAAGGACUACGAUAGAUCCCCUAUACUUGUGGGUCAUCAAGACUCUUUUCUAGCGCCGUUGCCGGGGAGUGAAGCGCCUUUGGUUAGUGGAACUUGGUAAGGAAAAAUUUAUAUAGUGUGCUGAAAUUUACUGUCACUUGUUACUAUGGAAAGUAAUCCUUUGAGGGGCUUGUUCGGGGUAUCUUCACCCUGUCCAGAAGAGCAAAGAUUUGCUCCUCAACCUACUGAACCUUCUGAAAAUGUUUGCUUUGAAAUUCCUUCGGGUAUGUUAGAGAAACUGCUAGCUAAUCCUUUUGCAGGAGAUGGAACAAUGCAUCCCGAUUUACACCUAAUCUAUGUGGAUGAAGUUUGUGGAUUAUUUAAGCUUGCAGGUAUACCCGAUAAUGUUAUUAAGAGGAAGGUUUUCCCUUUAUCUUUGGAGGGAGACGCAUUGACAUGGUACAGGCUAUGUGAUGAUACGGGAUCUUGGGACUAUAAACGAUUGAAAUUGGAAUUUCACCAGAAGUUUUAUCCUAUGCAUCUUGUUCAUCGUGAUCGCAAUUAUAUAUAUAAUUUUUGGCCUCGUGAUGGAGAAAGCAUCGCUCAAGCUUGGGGGAGGCUUAAAUCAAUGUUAUAUUCAUGCCUGAAAGCACAAGUGCUCCCUGGGUGGUUUUGGUAAUUAAUGUCAACAUAUCUCUUGUUGGACUAACACUUUUACCUAGUAUGUUUCAGAGAAGUUCAACAAUGGAGUGGCAUGGACAAGAGGAUGUGGAACCCCUUCAAGAUGAUAAGGACAAAGGAUUGGCUCAAGCUUCAAGAUCAAGACUCUACAUUUUCUAUUUUAGUGAUCCAAGAUCACAUUGAGUCUAUAGGAAGGUGUUGCUUAAUGGCUUGCUUGCUCAAAGUGCUUAGUGAUAUGCUCCAAAACCCUCAACUACCUUCCCGCAUCCACAUAUGACCUAAACCAAAAGUCAAACUCGGCCCCACCGAUUCUUUCUAUCCGGUGCCACCGAGUUUCAGAUGUCAUAGCCACUGCCACAAACCCUAGGCAAAUCGGUUUCAUUGAUAGGGAUCUCGGUCUCACCGAGAUGGGAUUGUAAUCUCUCUAUGUAUGUCCAUUACCAAAUCGGUCUCACCGAGUUUGAGUAAUCGGUACUACCCGGUCGAAGCGUACGUAGCGUUCUCAUUCUGGUCGGGAACGUGUGCGUACAUACUGGUCGAUCGGUCUAUCUGCAGGCUGCAGCGAUGAACCGUGGCCGUGUAAGGAAGGGCACGUGUGGUAGUAGAGGCGCGCACGUGUGGUAGUAGAGGCGCGCACGUAGCAUGUACACGUACGUACAGCGGCCAGGGUGCAAGAAAGUAAAUACGGCCACAUAUGUACAUAUGGGCGGGGUCUCGAACGCCUACUCGCGCAUACGUACGGCCAGGGCUCGUGUACAUGGCUGUGACUAGGUCAGAACGGAGAAACUGCGUCGUCAUCGUGUUCAUGGGGAGGCAACGGAAUGCAUCGUGUUCAAAGGGAGGCAACGGAACGUGUGCUGUUCAUUGGGAGCCAACCGGCUUGGACGGAACAGGCGAUGGAAACGAGGCCUGGCGUACCGCAGAAUGGAGGAAACGGCCUUGUGUUCGACCGACCAUGGUGGAAACGGGAUCCUGUUCAUCGGGAGGGGUUUUGCGUACCGCAAAAUGGAGGAAACGAACCUCCUACGGUCGAAACGGGGUCCUGUUGAUUGGGAGGGGUGUGGCGUACCGCAAAAUGGAAGAAAUGGACUUGUGUUGGAGCGCUACGGUCGAAACGGGGGUCCUGUUCAUCGGGAGGGGCGUGGCAUACCGCAAAACGGGACUCCACGGGAUACUGCUCAUCUCCACCGUCGACCUCCUCCAGCCUUCACGGGCUACUGUUCAUCCACCGUCGACCUCCUCCAGCCUCCACCUACGACUGUUCAUCCACGGGCUCCUGUUCAUCCAGCCUCCAUCGCGCGCUCCUCCAUCGGCUACUGUUCAACCAGCCCUCUCCACGGGGGUCCUAUUAAACCACCCCUCCACGGGUUACUAUUCAUCCAACCCUCCACUGGCUACUGUUCAACCAACCCUCCACCGGCUACUGUUCAACCAGCCCUCCACGGGGUCCUGUUCAUCCAGCCCUCCACGGGGUCCUGUUCAUCCACCGACUCGAUCGAUCGGGGUACUGUUCAUCCAGCAGCAACGACCUCUACUACCACGGGUUCCUGUUCAUCCAAACCCCCCAACAAUGCUCACUCUUCAUCCAGAGGCAACAUCGAUCAGCUUCAGUUAGCAGCAGUAGCGAAGGAAUCGCUUGAUCGGGUUCAGUUAACAGCCAUCGAUCAAUCGCUCGGGUUCAGUAACGCGUAGCCUGCAGUGCAAUCGCUCGGGUUCAGUUAGAGCCCAACACCUCGCUCGGGUUUAGUUAGAGCGCAACGCCUCGCACACACGGGCGUACGUACGAGAGAAACGCGCAUCGCUCGGCCCCGGACCACCCACCGUAACCGGGAAAUCCCCCGAUAUUUUCCUCGCCUCGCUUCUACCACGGUUUUCUCCGUCAUGGACGGCCCAAAGAAUGUCAUGCAGCUGCGUCUCUGGACCGCCCAGGACGAAAAGCCCAUUUUCUGUCAUGAUUUUUUGUCAUAGAAGUAGGAGCCCACCACAUCUAUGAUGAUACCGGGUUUUGUCACAAUUAUCAUCAUAGAAGUGUCAUAAGCAUGAUAGGAAAAAAAUUCGUUCGGCCCAAAAUGUCAUGGAUGUGUCUUUUUUUGUAGUGAUACCUACCUAUUAUGGCAUUUCCAUAGCCAUUCCAAGAUAUAUUGCCAUGCAACUUUCUACCAUUCCGUUUAUUACGACAUGUUCCAUCAUUAUCAUAUUGCUUUGCAUGAUCAUGUAGUGGACAUCAUAUUUGUGGCAAAGCCACCCUUCAUAAUUUUUCAUACAUGUCACUCUUGAUUCAUUGCACAUCCCGAUACACCGCCGGAGGCAUUCAUAUAGAGUCUAUUUUUUUCUAGGUAUUGAGUUGUAAAUAAAUAGAAGUGUGAUGAUCUUCAUUAUUAGAGCAUUGUCCCGUGUGAGGAAAUAAAAAAAGAGGCCAAAAGAGUCUCCAAAAAAAAGAGAAAGAGUCUCCAAAAAAAGAAGGGAGUCUCUAAAAAAAGAGAGAAAAAGAGAGAAGGGACAAUGUUACCAUCCUUUUUUCCACACUUGUGCUUCAAAGUAGCACCAUGAUCUUCAUUAUAGAGAGUCUCUUCUUUUGUCACUUUCAUAUACUAGUGGGAAUUUUCGUUAUAGAACUUGGCUUGUAUAUUCCAACGAUGGGCUUCCUCAAAUGCCCUAGGUCUUCGUGAGCAAGCAAGUUGGAUGCACACCCACUUAGUUUCUUUUGUUGAGCUUUCAUACAUUUAUAGCUCUAGUGCAUCCAUUGCAUGGCAAUCCCUACUCACUCACAUUGAUAUCUAUUGAUGGACAUCUCCAUAGCCCAUUAAUAUGCCUAGUUGAUGUGAGACCGUCUUCCUCCUUUUUGUCUUCUCCACAACCACCAUUCUAUUUCACCUAUAGUGCUAUGUCCAUGGCUCACGCUCAUGUAUUGCGUGAAAGUUGAAUUUUUUUGAAAAUACUAAAGUAUGAAACAAUUGCUUGGCUAAAACCGGGGUUGUGCUUGAUUUGAAUAUUUUGUGUGACAAAGACGGAGCAUGGCCAAACUAUAUGAUUUUGUAGGGAUGAACUUUCUUUGGCCAUGUUAUUUUGAGAAGACAUGAUUACUUUGUUAGUAUGCUUGAAUUAUUAUUAUUUUUAUGUCAAUAUUAAACUUUUGUCUUGAAUCUUUCGGAUCUGAACAUUCGUGCCACAAUAAAGAAAAUUACAUUGAUAAAUAUGUUAGGUAGCAUUCCACAUCAAAAAUUCUAUUUUUAUCAUUUACCUACUCGAGGACGAACAGGAAUUAAGCUUGCGGAUGCUUGAUACGUCUCCAAUGUAUCUAUAAUUUUUUAUUGUUCCAUGCUAUUAUAUUAUCUGUUUUGGAUGUUUAAUGGGCUUUACUAUACUCUUUUAUAUCAUUUUUUGGACUAACCUAUUAAACGAAGGCCCAGUGCCAGUUUUUGUUUUUUGCCUAUUUCAGUGUUUUGCAGAAAAGGAAUAUCAAACGGAAUCCAAAUGGAAUGAAACCUUCGCGAUGAUAUUUCUUGGAACAAACGCAAUCCAGAAGACUUGGAGUUGAAGUCUGGAACUCCGCGAUGCGGCCACGAGGCAGGAGGGAGCGCCCAGGGGGUAGGCACGCCCCCACCCUCGUGGGCCCCACGAAGCUCCAUCGACAUACUUCUUUCGCCUAUAUAUACUCUUAUACCCUAAAAACAUCAGGGGGAGCCACAAAACCACUUUUCCACCGCCGUAACCUUCUGUACCAGUGAGAUCCCAUCUUGGGGCCUCUUCCGGUGCUCUGCCGGAGGGGGAAUCGAUCACGGGGGACUUCUACAUCAACACCAUAGCCUCUCCGAUGAAGCAUGAGUAGUUUACCACAGACCUUCAGGUCAAUGGUUAUUAGCUAGAUGGCUUCUUCUCUCUCUUUGAUUCUCAAUACAAAGUUCUCCAUGAUGUUCUUCGAGAUCUAUUCGAUGUAAUACUCUUUUGCGGUGUGUUUGCCGAGAUCCGAUGAAUUGUGGAUUUAUGAUCAAGUUUAUCUAUGAAUAUUAUUUGGUUCUUCUCUGAAUUCUUAUAUCCAUGCUUUGAUAUCUUUGCAAGUCUCUUCGAAUUAUCAGUUUAGUUUGGCCUAAUAGAUUGAUCUUUCUUGCAAUGGGAGAAGUGCUUAGCUUUCGGUUCAAUCGUUCGGUGUCCUUUCCCAGUGACAGUAGGGGCAGCAAGGCAUGUAUAGUAUUGUUUCCAUCAAGGAUAAAAGAUGGGGUUUAUAUCAUAUUGCUUGAGUUUAUCCCUCUACAUCAUGUCAUCUUGCUUAAUGCGUUACUCUGUUCUUAUGAACUUAAUACUCUAGAUGCAUGCUGGAUAGCGGUCGAUGUGUGGAGUAAUAGUAGUAGAUGCAGAAUCGUUUCGGUCUACUUGACACGGACGUGAUGCCUAUAUUCAUGAUCAUUUCCUAGAUAUUCUCAUAACUAUGCGCUUUUCUAUCAAUUGCUCGGCAGUAAUUUGUUCACCCACCGUAAUACAUGCUAUCUUGAGAGAAGCCACUAGUGAAACCUAUGCCCCCUGGUCUAUUUUCCAUCAUAUAAUCUUCUAUUUUACAUCAUAUAAGUUUCCGAUCUACAAUUCUAGUUUCCUAUUUGUUUUAUGUUGCAAUCUUUACUUUCCAAUCUAUACAACAAAAAUACCAAAAAUAUUUACUUUACUAUCUCUAUUAGAUCUCACUUUUGCGAGUGAGUGUGAAGGGAUUGACAACCCCUUUAUCGCAUUGGUUGCAAGGUUCUUGAUUGUUUGUGAAGGUACUAGGUGACUUGCAUGUUAUCUCCUACUGGAUUAAUACCUUGGUUCUCAAAAACUAAGGGAAAUACUUACGCUACCUUGCUGCAUCACCCUUUCCCUCUUCAAAGGAAAACCAACGCAUGCUCAAGAGGUAGCAGGCAGCCGAUCGUCCCCUAUCGAUUCACCUCCAAUUGUUGGUGACUCGGGAAUCAAUUCAUACUCCAUUAGUGGAGUAGUUGUAACCAAGGAAAAAAUAGCGCUUACAACAAAAUAGCGGCAGCCUCAGAAUACGCUAUUAGCGUGCUAUAUCGUGUUAUAGCAUGCUAUUAGUGAGACGUUGUACACUAAUUUAUUUAGCGAGACAAUUCUCAAUACGCUAUAGCGUGCUAUUAGCAAUGUUAUAGCGCGCUAUUUUUUCAGUGGUUGUAAUGGGCCAUUAGUGGCAAAUAAAUGGGGUGCACUCACUAGCGGCCCAUAAUUGGAGGUCAGUUACAAUAUGGAUUUAUCAUAUCUAUAUAAUCUACAUUGUCCAGCUUCUCCUUACACAAAUCCUUUGGCGGACCGGCAUGGCUGACACUCAGAUCAAUAAUUAGUCUCCCCACUCCUGGCCUUCCACAAGUGUGCCCUCGUUCGUACCUCAACUCUCUCUCAAAUUCGGCAUGGAUUUUCCAAUUGAUGUUAUUCUUUGUGCUCUCAAAUGAAUGCAGGUUUCAUUGUGUUCCACGGGGUUCACUGGAUUGGCUCAUUCUGCUACGUAAGUAAGUUGCAACGUGAGGCACUACUUUCACCUUCAAUCAUUUCUUGCUUGACUAUAUUAUUCAUGAAUUCCACCAUCUUUGCAACCCAAGGUGGUAAUGGUUAAAUUUUUUGGUGUGGUCUAAUAUUCUUUUGUGCUUCUCUAUUGCAGAUAAAGCAGAUGUACUCAAACUUAUAAUUUUGAUUCUGCUUCUACAGCAAUUUUGAUAUAUACACAGUGUGUGUUUCAUAAUUGGUAUGAACGUGUGUGUUUUAUGCAAACAUAAUUCGAAAUGAAUGCAUGGGCCAUUGUAGGAUGAAUUUGAGCCCGGUACUGCUUUGUUUGCUGCUUCUACCGGGUAGUAUUCUUCCUUACAGCAGAUUUCAUGGAACUCCAAUGGCUAAUGGACAAGUUAUUAUCUAUGCACUGUUAUGCCUCAUGUUAAUUAUCUUGCAACGUGAUUUCAUAUGUUUGGUACUCUGGAGUAAUUGCUCUAGGUGGAACUGGCUAUUCUAAGUCACCACUCCAUUCUUGAUUCCAAUCAUGUAUGUGAUAAUCUCCAUGAAAUCGAAAGAGUGGAUUGAAAACAAUUGUUCUACUGAAGUAUCAUGCUUUUGAGCCAACUCCUACCCUAUGUUUUCACGGGUUCCACCUGCUAUUGUCGGAUGCACAAGGACCAAAUGGCAUGCAGCGAUGUCCAUCUGCAGUAGCUCAUUGAACGUGACAGGAUCCAAUUGGUAUACUCAAACCACCAAGAUGACCGGUUAAUUUGGGAGCUGGCCAAUCAUGUGUAGCAGCCCUUAAGAUAACUACUGCUAUAUUAUUACUGAAGUCUGUAGUCGGGUGACUUCCAAAAAUGCGAUGUUACACUCCUAUAAUCUAGUGUCUUCCUCUCUACUUAUAUGGGUAACAUAUGCGAACAUGUUUAAUUGUUGGUCUAAAAAAGUUUCAGUUGAUUAUAACUGCUACUUCAUCAUAUGACAAAAAUGGCAUUUGCUAGGAUUUCAUCAAUGCUAUUGUAUAUUGGGAUUUUCAUGUUAAGUUUUGGGAUGCUACUAUCAAGUUAUGCAUUUUGUGCCUGUAGUAGUACAAUCUCCUCGAAUAUCAGCUUGUGGUGUUCCCCUACUGGUAACUUUAUUGCUACAAGCUAUCUCUGCAUCAAAGAUUGUUCUCCCUCACUUGGAUGCCAACAAAUCAUGUCAUCAUCUUCAAAUAUAUACAAACAAAGUAGUUUAAGUGCAAAACACUUGAAUUUUAUAGAUUAGUAUUAUUUAUCCAUAAAAGGUUCAAGGUUUUUACGUGAGUUAGUUUUUUUGUACAAAAGUUGGAUCUCGGGCUGUCAACAUUGUCCAAUUUCAUGCUUAUAUAAAAAAUAUAUUCUUACAGAAUAAUUUUCUUAUAGGAUAAUUAUCUUAUAGCUUAGAUUUCAGGCUUUCGAUAUUGUUUAAUUUUAUGCAUAAAUUCAUGUGCUAGAUGAAAUUUCAGUCGAACGACACCUUUGAUGCCAUCAACAAUUCUAGCCAGCGAUCACUUGCAUUGCUCCUGAAGCGUACCAAUUAUUACGUCAUGCUAGCUAUAUCACCUUGAUGUUUCAUUGUUCAUGAAAGGAACCAAUUUAAUCUUCAUGUUUUGCCCUCAGGCCGGGCAAUUUUUCUAAAUACCAACCAUUUUAUUGUAAAAAUGUACGGGCGCAGCAACGCGCGCUAUCAAUGAUCUAGUUAUAUUAUCAACCUUGGGUGUUUUAUAUGCAUUAAUAUGCUAUUUUAUAUUAUUUUUGGGACUAACCUAUUAACCUAGUGCCUAGUGCCAGUUUAUGUUUUUUCCUUGUUUUUGGCUUUCGCAAAAAAGGAAUAUCAAACGGAAUAAAACUUUACAAUGAUUUUUCUUGGCCCAGCAGACACCUACGAGACUUGGAGUGGGGGCCAAGGGACCCACGAGGAAACAACAAGCCGUAGGGGCGCGCCCCUUGGGCUUGUGGCCCCCUCGGGGGUCCCAUGCAUCGCCUCUUUUGCCUAUAAAUUCCCAAAUAUUCCAGAAACCCUAGUGGAGUCACCAGAAAUACUUUUCCACUAUCGUACGUCUUUGUUCCCAUGAGAUCCAAUCUUGGGGCCUUUUCCGGUACUCAGUCAGAGGGGGAUUCGAUCACGGAGGGCUUCUACAUCAACCUUGCUAACCUUCCGAUGAUGUGUGAGUAGUUUACUAUAGACCUAUGGGUCCAUAGCUAGUAGCUAGAUGGCUUCUUCUCUCUCUUUGAUCUUCAAUACAAUGUUCUCCUCGAGGUUCUUGGAGAUCUAUUCAAUGUAAUCUUCUUUUGCGGUGUGUUUGUUGAUAUCCAAUGAAUAUUAUUUGAGUCUUCUCUGAACUCUUUUAUGCAUGAUUAAGAUAGCUUUGUAUUUCUUUCCGAUCUAUCGAUUUGGUUUGGCCAAAUAGAUUGGGUUUUCUUGCAAUGAGAGAGGUGCUUAGUGAUGGGUUCAAUCUUGCGGUGUCCUCACCCAGUGAUAGAAGGGGUAGCGAGGCACGUAUUGUAUUGUUGCCAUUAAGGAUGAAAAGAUGGGUUUUAUAUCAUAUUGCUUGAGUUUAUCCCUCUACAUCAUGUCAUCUUGCUUAAGGCAUUACUCUGUUCUUAUGAACUUAAUACUCUAGAUGUAUGCUGGAUAGCGGUCGAUGUGUGUAGUAGUAGUAGUCGAUGCAGGCAGGAAUCAGUCUACUUGUCACGGACAUGAUGCCUAUAUUCAUGAUUAUUGCCUUGGAUGUCGUCAUAACUAUGCACUUUUCUAUCAAUUGCUCAACAGUAAUUUGUUCACCCACCGUAUGCUUUCUUCGAGAGAGAAGCCUUUAGUGAAACCGAUGGCCCCUGGGUCUACUUUCCAUCAUAUAUUUUCAGAUAUAUAAAACCAAAAACCCAAAAAUACCUUGCUGCAAUUAUUUUGUGUUCACUUUAUUUUUCCUUUUACUUUUAGUUUAAAUCUAUCUCUAUUAGAUCUCACUCUUGCAAGUAACCGUGAAGGGAUUGACAACCCCUUUUUCGUGUUGUGUGCAAGUGUUUGUUAGUUUGUGCAGGUGCAUAUAUUGGAGACUUGCUUGUGCCUCCUACUGGAUUGAUACCUUGGUUCUUAACCGAGGGAAAUACUUAUCUACUACUUUGCUGCAUCACCCUAUCCUCUUAAAGGGAAAAAUUAACGCAAGCUCAAGAAGUAGCAAGAAGGAUUUCUGGCACCGUUGCCGGGGAGGUUCUACAUCAAGCCUACCAAGUACUUGUCAUAAAUCUAAUCUCUUGCACUUACAUUAUUUGCCAUUUACCUCCCGUUUUCAUCUCCCCCACUUCUAAAAUGUUUUGAGAAAAACACAAAAAUAUUUGCCUUUUUAUUCUCCCUUUCUUCGUUCGUCUUUUUGUUUGCUUGUGUGCUAGAUCGCUUGCUUUGUCACAAUGACCCAAGAGAAUACUAAGUUGUGUGACUUUUCCAACACUAAUAAUAGUGAUUUUUUUAGUACUCCGAUUGCUCCCGCCACUAGUGCGGAAUCUUAUGAAAUCAAUGCCGCUUUAUUGAAUCUUGGUAUGAAAGAACAAUUUUUUGGUAGUCCUAAUGAAGGUGGUGCAUCCCAUCUAAAUUUUUUUGUUGCAUUGUGUGAUAUGCAAAAUAAAAAUAUGUGGAUAAUGGUAUCAUUAAAUUGAAGCUUUUUCUGUUCUCAUUACGAGAUCGUGCUAAAACUUGGUUUUCAUCUUUGCCUAAAAAUAGUAUUGAUUGAUGGAAUAAGUGUAAAUAUGCCUUUAUUUCCAUGUAUUUUCCUCCCACUAAGAUCAUCUCCCUUAGGAACGAUAUAAUGAAUUUUGAGCAACUAGAUCAUGAGCAUGUUGCACAAUCAUGGGAAAGGAUGAAACUAAUGAUAAGAAAUUUCCCUACUCAUGGUUUAAGUUUAUGGAUGAUCAUACAAAAAAUUUAUGCCGGAUUGAAUUUUGCAUCUAGAAAUCUUUGAGAUACCGCCGCGGGAGGUACUUUCAUGGAAAUCAAAUUAGGAUAAGAUACUAAACUCCUAGAUAAUAUUAUGGAAAAUUACUCUCAAUGGCAUACCGAAAGAUCAUGUACUAGUAAAAAAAGUGCAUGCAAUUGAAGAAAUAAAUGUUUUGAGUGCAAAGAUGGAUGAUCUUAUGAAAUUAAUUGCUAGCAAAGGUGCUCCUAUAGACCCUAAUGAUAUGCCUUUGUCUACUUUGCCUGAGAAUAAUAAUGAAUCUAUGGAUGUGAAUUUUGUUGGUAGGAACAAUUUGGUAAUAACGCGUAUAGAGGUAAUUUCAACCCUAGGCCGUUUCCUAGUAAUUCCUCUAAUAAUUAUGGUAAUUCUACAACAAUUUUUUUGGAAAUUAUAAUAAGAUGCCCUCUGAUCUUGAGAAUAAUAUUAAGUAUUUUAUAAACUCCCAAAAGAGUUUCAAUGCUAUGGUAGAAGAAAAAUUGCUUAAUAUUAAUGAUUUGGCUAUAAACGUUGAUAGAAUUUCUCAUGAGAUUGAUUCUUUAAAAAUUAGAUCUAUGCCACCAAAGCAUGAUAUUAAUGAUUCUCUGAAAGUUAUGCAAAUUUCUAUUAAUGAGAGUAGAGAGAGCGGCUAGGUUGCAUGCUAAAAAAGAAUUGUUAGAAAAAACAUGUUCUUCUAGUUUUUGCGGUAACAAUGAUGAAGAUCUUAAGAUGCUUGGUUUGACUCCUAUUUAAUCUUUGUUUGCUAAUAUAGAUCUUAAAAAUAAGGGACUGGUGAUGAUUCAACUUUAGAUAAAAGGCGUCCCGAUAAUUUGGAGAAUAAAGAUCUUAACGAAAAAAGUGAUAAAAUGGGAUUGGAGAGGUCAAAACUUUAGCAAGCAAUGAACCCACUAUUUUGGAUCUCAAGGAUUUUAAUUAUGACUAUCACACAUGCCCGUGCGUUGCAACGGAAGAAAAUAAAUUGAAAUGCCCCCAAUGAACAUCAAAACAUGUUCAAGACCCCACAUAUCCAUGUCCGUUCUUUGAAAGUGGGAACAUGAGUGAAACUGGGUGGAUAGGGGAUAGAAGAUCGACAAGUAGAAAAACAUUCCUCAUUUUACUAUCAUUGCUAACAAAAUGAGCUAUAGAUAAAAUUGUACAGUAUUCUAAAUAAGUGUAUAGCUACAAAGAAAAUGAUCAUAUAUAGUAGAAUGCGUACAUUAUCUAGCCAACCAUUUUGUAAUGAUAUGUUCACAAACUUAAUUGUAUUAUUACUGGCUCGUGUAUCAUUCUCUCCCAUAGAAAUCAUACAAUAAAAGCUUCAGAACGCAAAUGACCAACAUACUCUGAAUCAGUUCUCAUACACACACUCUAUAAUAUAAAUUCAGACCAUAUACUUUUAGCUUCUACGACAAAGAAAUUGAAGCAAGGAAUGUUGCGUUGGUCAGUUCGUCCAUGAGAAAAUGCAGUUGAAGGCCUCCAUCCUAAAAGCCGAGACCAGAACCGUCAUCUUGUCGUGGUCGCUGUGUAACCGGAAGAAGGAGCUCACGCUGAGCAACCACAAGUUGGUGGCUGCCACGUUAUAUUCGGCAGAUCGUUGGCUGAGGUCGAGAGCCUUGACAGUGUCUGAGCAGAGGGCGAGCGCGUGCGCAGCAUAUGUAUGCAGACUCCUCAGCAAAAUUGGAAAAAAAACUCAACUUUGUCAGCCCGGCGAAAGGGCCAGGUUAGUUCAAAAUGUGCCACUUGCUGGUGUAAAAACAUGGAGCAAUGACGCAUGUAUGCUCAGGAAGCUAUCUAUAACAUUGUAAUGGGAUUAAAAUUAGCUAGCUAGUAUCGUAUUUCUGCAAACUUGUCAUCUUAAUUAUGCAAAAACAAAAAUCUGAAGCUAGCUGAGCAUAAAUGGUUUGGUGCCCCUUGGGUUGUUUUCUUGUCCUAACAUAACAUGGAGGAGGUACCAAGGGUUCAACAUUGAGCUUUGAUUUACCUCCAUUAUCCCCGAGAUACUGGUGUUUGUGAUGAACUAAAUAGACAAUUUGUUGUGCUGGGAUGAUUCAUGAUGGAUUGAUAAGAUGAGCUUCGCAACAACUACCAUCAUGCAUGAGCAUGGGUAAAAUCCAAAAUUUCCCAAAGCAGCCAUGUUUUUAUGUGUAUUCUGUUGCUUAUUUCCCUCUGAAAAUUGACAAAACAUCCACACUUCUAGUCUUAUAUCCCUAUGAAAAUCUAUUAAACAUACACAAAUCUGCUUUUGGAGUAAGAAAUUAUAACCCAUAAAUAAGAAAAUUUUAACUUAAUUAGUUUUACCAAUCUACAUAACAAAAUUUGAUUUAUCCACUACCGAUUGACUGUAACAAGACAAAAAAUCAAGUCGCACACUCACACCUCAAAUCUUGAGGCAUGCGCAAUCUGUUGAAGCCUCAAACAUAGAACCAUAUCAUGUGAAUUUCCAACAAAAAAUUAGGACUCCAUUUUCCUGUUUGAUCCUUACCAGUUUAUUAGUUACGUAUCUAUCAAUUCCAUGAUCUUCCACAAUGCGUCAAACCGCUUCAUAACUCCUGUCGGUCCCUCGAGGUGGAAAUUUUCACGCUGAGAUGCAACAGAAUUUAUAUCAUGCAUUAAGUCAUGCAAAAAUACCAACCUAACAUAUGCCAGUAUAGUUUGACAUAGAUACAAAUUACCAUCCUUCUCAGUAGCAUCUCAAAACACCAAAAGGCAUCUACAUCAUCCUCGUAUAGAACAACAAAAGGGGAAACCAGAUCGCUCAUACCUACAAUCAAUUUGUACCAUUUAGGCAGUUUAAAUAAUUAAAGCAAAAUGAUGCAAUACUCCAUUGAAAUGCAAACCUUGACAGUAUCCAGGGGAGGGAUCAACCCAUGCAUAAAAUGGAAAUAUAUCUGACAAACCUUCAUGGAAGCCGCCGCUUGAACCCCACGGAGCCGUUCGUCGCCAGCCCCUCCAGAAUCGCCAGAUCCAGCCGCCUCCACUCCAUUCUCGGUGUCGGGCCUCGAGAGCUCCUCCCCUCAUCCUCCUACAUCGACUCGAGCCGCCAUGGACGGCCGCUGCAUCCGCGUUGACUGCGGGCGAACGCGCGCGUCUGACGCAUAUGGACCUGCCUCCGUGCCUCCCCUCAUGCUCCUCCUCUCGUUCGCCAUGUGCUCGCCGCCGUCGUCCUGCUCCCGAUCGAAUAGGGAGCGCCGCCGCUCGAUCUGCAGCGCAAAAAGAAUAUCGAACAGUUUUUUCUUAACUCAAAUAUAGUUCACACGGGUUAAUUUAUUAUUUCAUGUGCACAUAUUGAUCAAUUUUUUUCACGAAUACGCAAAGAUUGCGUAUCAUUGCAUUGAUAGGAGGGGGUUGAAAGUACAUAGAGACAUGCCGACAAUGGCCACGCGUACACAGGUCGGCGCGGGCACAAGUGGUCGGAGCAGCUAGGAGAGGGGCUGCUCAACCCUCAUUACAAAAAAGCUAAGCCUAAAUCUCAGGAAUCAGGUUCGCCAAGCCGUUGGCACCGGCACAAGCCCAUAGGCGAGUGUCUUCUUGAAUGGAUUGCAGCAGAGUUGCGAUCGAGGGUUGCCGCUGAUCGAACACGCAUCCAUUCCGGUGUCUCCAGAUGGCCCAAGCGGUGAGGGCGAUGAUGGAGCAGAGUCCCUUCCGCAGCGCCGAGGGUGAUGAAGUGCAAGCAUCCAUCCACCAGUCCGCAAACGUUGUGUCGGGGUUGGGGAUCAUGGCAGUCGAUCGGCACCAAGAAAGGACCUCAUGCCAAAUUUGGCGGGAGAAGGGGCAGGAGGUGAACAAGUGGUGCAUGUCCUUAGUGGUCUGGUCGCACAGCACGCAACUGUCAUUGUGGGGCAGUCCUCGCCGGGCAAGGCGGUCGGCCUUCCAACAUUGGUCUUGUAGGGCAAGCCAGAUGAAGAUCUUGAUGCGUAAGGGGGCCCAAGUCUUCCAGGUGAGCUUCCAGCAUGCGUCGAUCGUGGAUCCGUGAAAGAGCGCAAGGUAGCAGGAUUUGGCGGAAUAGACGCCGGACUCCGUCCACUUCCAUCGCAGCACAUCAGGCCCAGCCGAGAGGGUAGCGCUUUGGAGCAUGCGCCAGAGCUCGACAUACUGGAUCAGGGCUGCCGGGCCAAGCGCGCCGGCAAUGUCGCACACCCAGGCGCGACCAGGAAGCCCCUCGGCCACCGUGCGAUCGCGACGAUGUCGUCUGGAGACCAGGGAGAACAUGAGGGGGGCAAGCUCGAGGAUGGCCUUGCCAUCGAUCCAAGGGUCAGUCUAGAACCUGCAGGUGCCACCAUCACGCACCUCCCAAGAGGUGGAGGCCCUGAAAAUCUGCGAGGCCGCAGGGUCAUGGGGGAGGUGCAGAUGACUCCAGGGGCGCGAAGCAUCAGUACGCUGGAGCCAGAGCCAUCGGGUGCGCAAGGCGACGCUGGCGCGCUGUAGGUCGCGUAUCCCCAAGCCGCCGAGGAAGGUGGGGUGACACACCCGAGCCCAGUUCACUCGGCAUUGCCCUCCGCGCGCGUCCUUGCGGCCAACCCAAAGGAAGCUUCGGAUGAUCCGGUUGACCCGAGCAAGGAUGGACUUGUUGACAGCAAUGGCGAUGAGGAUGUGGAUGGGCAUGGCGCAGAGAACGUGCCGACAGAGCGCGAGGCGAUCCCCCAAGGAGAGCAUGGAUCCCAGCCAGGUAGAGAGCUUCCUCUCGAGCUUGUCGACGAGGGGUAAAAGGUCGACAGUCGAGGGCUUACGGAGGGAAAGCGGGAGGCCGAGGUACUUCACCGGAAAGUAAGAGAUCGGGCAGGCCAUCUCAGAUGUGAUCAUGGCGACGUGCCCCUCGUCGCAGCGAAUGGGGGAGGCCGAGAACUUGGCGAUGUUCGUGCAGAGCCCGGAUGCCUUGCCGAAGACAUCCAGAAUGCGGCGAAUGGCGUGGAUGUCAUGGGUGUCGGGGUGGCUAAAGAUAACAAUGUCGUCGGCGUAGAGGGAGACGCUCGAAGGCAUGUGCUGCACGGUCAGUCGCUGUAGGAGGCCGCGCUCGACGGCUCGUUGAAGGAGCGAGUUGAGCACGUCGAUGAUGAUGACGAAGAGCAUAGGGGAAAUGGGGUCCCCUUGCCGUAGCCUGCACGUGUGAAGAAUUGGUGGCCCGGGGACACCAUUGACAAGCACACGCGUCGAUGCGGUAGAGAGCAGGAUGGAGAUCCAUUCGCACCACCGGUCUCCAAAGCCUAGGUGCUUGAGCGUGUCAAGCAGAAAGGGCCAUGCCACCGAGUCAAAAGCCCUUGUGAUGUCGAGCUUGAGGAGCAUUCGCGGCAUUUUGAGGUUGUGAAGAAGUCUGGCCGUCUGUUGAACAAGGAGGAAGUUGUCAUGAAUGCUUCGGCCGACGAUGAAUGCGCUUUGAUUGGAAGAAACCAUCUUGCCCAGGUGGGCGCCAGCCGAAGAGAGAGCGCCUUCGCGAACAGCUUCGCAAUGAGAUGGAUGAGGCUAAUGGGGCGAUAGUCGAAGAGAGAUGCCGCGUCCUGCUUCUUCGGAAGGAGGGUGAGGAGCGCCUCAUUGAGCCUCUGGAAACCCUGUCCGUUGAGUGCGUAUAGCUUAUCGAAGACGGCACAGAUGUCCUGCUUGAUCACGUCCCACGCACUCCGGAGGAAUUCGGCGGUGAAGCCAUCGGGACCGGGCGCCUUCCCGAGUGGCAAGCUUUUUACCGCAGCCCAGAUCUCAUCCUCUGAGAAAGGUGUGUCGAGGCUGGAGAGGUCAAAUGGCCCAACGUGGAGCACAGAGAGGUCUAAGGAGAAAGGCCGUGGCUUCGCCGAUCCAAGGAUGCCGCAGAAGUGAUCGAACGCAGCCUCAGUGAGAGCGGCCAGGUCAGAGAUGGAAGUGUCUCCGACCUACAACUCGACGAUCCGGUUCUUCAUCUUGCGGUGUGCUGCAUGCACUCUGAAGAACUUCGGACCCGCGUCGCCGUCUCGCAACCAGGAAAGCCUAACGCGCUGGCGCGAGAUCGAGCGCUCGAGCGACGCCGGCCCUAGGUACACCCCUUUGAGGUGCCUGCGUAGCCAGGCCUCGGCCGCGGAAAGGGGCCGGAAGUCUGGCGCCGCAUCCAGGCGCGCGAUCAGCUCACGAGCGACAAGGAGCUGCCGGGACACGUCCCCAAUCUUCUUCGCGCUCCAGCUUUGGAGACGCCGCGCAGUGUUCUUGAGGCGCGCCACCAGCCUACGGAAGGGGUCUGGCUCGUCGGCCGCAGCAGCCCAGGCCUCGAGCAUGACCUACGUGUAGCCAUCGGUGCGCGGCCAGAAUCUUUCGAAGUGGAAUCUUCGCGUGCCAGGCGAGUGCGCAGUGCAGUCGAGAAGGAGAGGUGCAUGAUCAGAUGCUGCGGAGGAGAGGCAGCGUAGCAUGCAAUGCGGAUGCAGAGCUUCCCAUGCGGAAUUGGAGAUCACCCGGUCAAUGCGCGUGAGGGUGGGGGUGCCGCGUUCGUUUAACCAAGUAUAUCGUCGCCCGUGCAGGUAGAUGUCACGCAGUUCCUUGUCAGCGAGGAAGCGGCGGAACCGCGACAUGACCCGGUGAUUGAGCCAGGAGUUAUUCUUGUCCGCAGCCCCAGAGAUCAUGUUAAAGUCAUCCCCAAGGAUCCAAGGGCCAGCUUGCAGUGAUCGGACCUCACUGAGGUCCCCGAGGAAAGCGAUCUUGUCAUCAUCACCUUGCGGGCCAUAAACGCCAGUGAGCCACCAGUGGUGGGCGCCAUCCAAGGAAGAGGACAGCGCGGUGAUGUGGUGGUCACCACGGUAUGGAUAGGAGAGCGCGAUCAUGUCCGGCCGCCAGGCAAGCAGGAUACCCCCACGGGUCCCAUCCGCGGGAAGGAAGAAGAACUCGGAGAAGGACGAGCCGAGCGUCUCAGCGACAAGCGAGGACGAGAGAGCAAUCAUCUUAGUCACUUGGAUGCAAACAAUACAAGGCGAGGCAGCGGUGAUCACGCUGCGAACGGCGGUGCGCUUGGUCGGGGCAUUAAGGCCACGCAUGUUCCAGAAUACAAUGCGAAGGUUGUGAUCCAUGGAGAGAGGUGGAGUCCUGCGGUGGCUUAGGCAGCCACUAGGCCUCGACCGCGCGAGGCAGGGGGGAGGGCGAGUUGACAGGCGGGUCGAUCAGCUCGGGGAUGCGCCAGCCGAAGAGAUCGGCGAAUGCCUGCAGCACGUCGUGCGCCAGUGGCUUCUGGAAGAGGCGCUCGUACGUCGCUAGCGUAGCAGCGGAGAUGGGGGUUGGGCGUCCGAGACGAGCUCGAGGCGACGGAGGAGCACCUUCUUGGCCUUGAGCUCAGAAUUGAGGCCGCAAUCAGCCUUGGCAAUCCUGCCGCUCCGACGGGGCGUGAAGUUCGGCGGUAACUCCUUCCUCCGGGAGCGGGAGGGGGGCGUAGGGAGAAUCUGCAAGAUCGGCCUCCGAAUGGAGUCUAAAAACGCGUCCACAGGCUCCACGUCGGCAUGCGCGCCACGUGGUGAGUCCGGGGCGGUUGCAUGGGAAGCAAGAUUCGCCGAGGGCAUGGGAUCUCUCGGGAUCAGAGCGGGCGAACUUUCCACAGCGGGAUCCGAGGCAGGGGAGGGGAGUGGCCCAAUGGCGGGGCAGCGCAGGGGGCCUGGUGGGUCCGCGCCUUGGCUAGACGACACCAGCUGUCCCGCAGAGGGAGGGGAGGAUGGCCCUCUUUCACAUUUCUCGGGAUCCGCCAGCGGGUUUGUCGCGGAUCCUGAUGGGGCCACGCAAAGCAACAACAGGCUAGGGGCGACCACUGGGGCGGGAUCAACCUGGGGUUGCGCGCCGGUCUCCAGCAGGUGUUCGGGUGGGUCAGGCGAUGCCACGUUAGCAAACGAUGGGGUGGUGGGCGCGGGAGCAGCGACCCGGUCAACAGGGUUGGGGUUUGAACUAGGCGCGCCAACGGGCGGGGACGGGGCGGGAUGGCCAGCUGUCACCGCGGCUUUCUGGAAAUCCGCCUUGCCCCCCCGGGCAGCUUUGUCGGGCCCCGCAUGACGCCAGCCACGACCGGCGGGUAUGGCCCGAGAACCCCAUGCCAGAUGCGCGAGACGGCGAGCGGGCGGUUGCGGCGGCGAACUCCACGGCGGCAACUGGAGCAGCCGGACUGGCGCGAGGGGCCGGUGAUAUCACGGUGUGGCGGCGCCGGAGGGUGAUCAUACUGGCGCGGCCAGGGCACAGGACAGGGUGGAGAGUCUUGGCCGGGGCCAGCGCCAUCGUCGGAGUCGGGGCCUGGAGAGACACGCGGCGGCGGAGGCGGCGGGGCGGGUCGACGGAAGUCCUCGCAGCGGGCCACAUGAAUCGCUACUGGGAAGCGCAGUAGGUCCAUGCCAAGGCGCUCGGCCACGUCCGGGUCUGUGUCGACGGCAACGCCAUCGCGCACCGGGAGGAAGAGGUCAGCGGCUAGCGGGAUCGCGUCAGGGUUGGCCGUCCAUGCCGAGAGCCGGAAGAUGUCCAGGUCGACGCCACGGCGAGUGCGCGGCUCGACGUGCUCCACCAGGCAGAACGGCGAGAGCAGCGCGACCACGGUGGCGCGGUGCCAGACAUGAUCGGGCACCCCGGUGAGCUCGAGGUGGACCCGGAAGCGGGCGCGCACCUGCUCCGCACCGGCAAGCGCGCUCCAUGGGUGAAGCAGCAGGCGUAAGCGGGCGGUGCGGACGCCGUCAUUUGCCACCAGGGCCCGAUCCUCCGCACGUAGGAAGCGGAUGAGGAAAUCCUCCGGCAGGUGGCGGUGAACCAAGAAGCGCACCUCCGGGAUGCCAAAACGCGAGCAAAUCACGUCGGAGACCUCCUGACAUGAGACCCCGGUCCUGCACCCCGCGACCGUGGCAAGCAACGCGCGCUGGAGCUCCUCCUCGGCGGCGUCGAUCUCCACGGAAAGAGGAAGGAAGCACGCGGGCGCAGCGGCUGGACGCAGCGAGGGGUGGCCGGUGAAGGGGCGCAGGGGGAGGCGGGCUGCGUAGCCUGGGAGGCACGGGGGGAGGGGACGGCAAGCCCGGAGGACACAGGCUGCCAAGACCCUUGGACGGACGUGGGCGAAGCCGAAGGCGAAGGCGCCGGGGAGGGCGAAGGCUGGGGCGGGGAAGGCCCACGGAGGCGCUUAGGCGACGGGCUGGAGCGCGAGGAGGGCGACGGCGAGCGCAGUUUCGUGCACAUGUGUGCCACAUGGCUUCCAAUCUAGUUAAUUGUACUGCUGGAUUUUGGUGGUCAUUCUGAAUGUACAGAUUUGUUGUGCGGAUCUCUGAACUAAUAUGGAUCUGUUGACGAACUAUAACUUAGCACUAUAUCUGGUUCUUGCUAUCAGUUUGAUUUUGGUCAUCCAAGUGGAUAUAUACACCAGUCAUGCAGCCACAGUCUGCACUAUUUGGUUAAUGAGAAAGGGAGGAGCACAACACUGACCCCAUCGCUAUCUCAGCCAGCUUCAGGUCCACCAUGGCCACCUACACCGAGCACCAUAUCACGUCUCCGAGCUUAGUUGUCGAUUCAUCUACACCAACCCAAUCACCACAAACAGGGAUAUAAUCAGAUCUAAUAAGAGAUAGCUCCAUGACCAUGAAGAAAGGACGAACCGUGGGAGCAGCCCGUAGGCGGCCGCGCUGGACCACAUCCACUCGUCCGCGUAUCCAAGAGCUAAUCAGGGCAAGGCGGUCGGUGCUGGGCGACCACAGCAACGGCCAUGUAACCGGGACACGAGGCGGAAGGAAUCGGUAGGCGGUGUGAUGCCCUGAUUCCCUCCGGCGUGUAGUCCGAUCUGUCCCCGUCAUCCCCGUUCCCUCCUCCGCCGCCUCCAGCUCCCUCUCCCACUUCUACUGGCUUCUCUGCCGCCUCCACCUUCCUUUCCUCCUCCUACCAGCUCCUCCGCUGUCUCCACCUCCCCCUCCUUGUCCUACCACCCGUUGCCCGUGGUGGCGCUGAGUGUGCCGAGCAGCCCAUCGCGGUCGGCGGCACGUGCUCGAGACGGCCGGCGCGAUCCCGAAGCGCGGAGGCCUGGGCCUCGGCGUCGGCAAACUACAUGCGGAGGACUCGGACGACACGGGGAGGAGGGCGCGGCGGACGAUGCGGGCCGGCGGCGGGGAGGCGGCGGAUCUAGAGGGGGUGCGAGAUGCGGUCGCUUGACUCGGGGGUGGUUUUUUUUGUCAAGCAUGUCCACGCGAGGUAAACCCGGAGUCAAUCCGUGUUUUCAUGAUCACAUGAUAAAUAGUACCACCUCGGAUGUAGAAAAUAUAAUAUAGGUAAAAAAACUGAAAGCGUAAAUUUACAGGAAAAAGCGUAUUGUGACGGUGAACCUGACAAAGUCAAUCCGUGCUUUAUUAUUAGGGAUAGAUAGUUGUUCUUUGAUAGGUUGUAUUUCCUUGUUGCAAUACAUGCUUAAUUCUCCUCAUGCUUAUAAUCAAAAUAAGGCUUUUACGAAGCAUAUUGUUGAUGCUAUGAUGAAAUCUUUUGAAGAAAAACUUGAGUUGGAAGUUUCAAUCCCUAGAAAGCUUUAUUAUGAUUACCUACUAUUAAAAUCAAGAUUAAAGAUUAUGAGUGUAAUGCUUUCUAUUAUUUGUGUGCUAGCAUUCAACAAUUCCAAAAACUCUAUGUGAUGUGUUAGGUUUCCAUAAACUUGAUGAUUGUUCUUUAAAUUUGCAUCUUGCGGAUUCCACUAUUAAAAAACCUAUGGGAAUGAUUAAUCAUGUUAUUAUUUUUGAAAAUAGGAAUUAUGUGCCUGUAGAUUUUAUUGUUCUUGAUAUAGAUUGCAAUCCAACAUGCCCUAUUAUUCUUGGUAGACCUUUCCUUAGAACGAUUGGUGCAAUUAUUGAUAUGAAAGAAGGAAACAUUAGAUUUCAAUUUCCAUUAAGGAAGGGCAUGGAACACUUUCCAAGAAAGAAAAUUAAGUUACCAUAUGAAUCUAUUAUGAGGGCUAAUUAUGGGAUGAAUACCAAUACCUAGAUCGUUGCUUUAUGCCUAGCUAGGGGCGUUAAACAAUAUCACUUGUUGGGAGGCAACCCAAUUUUAUUUUGGUUUUUACUUUUUUGUUCAUGUUUUUGAAUAUAUAUAUAUAUAUAUAUAUAUAUAUAUAUAUAUUAGUGGGUUAGAGAAGUUUUUAUGAUUUUUAUUAGUGUUUGUGCCAAGUAAGACCUUUGGGAUGAUUUGGAAGAUAGUAGAUUGGUUUUGUUGAAAAAUAGAAACUUUUGCGCCUAGUGCCAGAAUUCUUUGUGAUUACUAGAAUGUGAUACAUUCUUGAAUUUUUACACAAUUCUGAUAUACAAAUUUCCCACGUUGUCCUAAUUUUUCAGAAUUUUUAGAAAUAUAGAGGUUUUCGCUUUAAUUCGCAUCUUUACAGACUGUCCUGUUUUAGUUAAAUUAUGUUUUCUUGUGUUGUUUGCUUAUUUUGAUGAAUCUAUGGGUAGUAUCGGGGGGGAUGAACCAUGGAAAAGUUGGAAUACAGUAGAUAUAACACAAAUAUAAAAUAAGAAUGAGUUCACAACAGUACCUAAAAGUAAGGUUUGGAUUUGUUUUACUAACGAAUCUCACGAGUUUUCUGUUGAGUUUUGUGUUGUGAAGUUUUCAAGUUUUGGGUAAAGAUUUGAUGGACUAUGGAAUAAGGAGUGGAAAGAGCCUAAGAUUGGGGAUGCUCAAGGAACCCCAAGGUAAUAUUCAAGUACAACCAAGCAUCUAAGCUUGGGGAUGCCUCGGAUGGCAUCCCCUCUAUUGUCUUCAAUCCAUCGGUAAAUGUACUUGAGGCUAUAUUUUUAUUCACCACAUGAUAUGUGUUUUGCGUGGAGCGUCUUGUAUGAUUUGAGUCUUUGCUUUUUAGUUUGCCAGAAUCAUCCUUGCUGAAUACACCUUUUUGAGAGGGACACACAUUAAUCGUGAAUUUAUUAGAAUACUCUAUGUGCUUCACUUAUAUCUUUUGAUCUAGGUAGUUGCUCUAGUGCUUCACUUAUAUAUUUUUGAGCACGACGGUGAUGUUAUUUUGAAGAAAUUAUUGAACUCUCAUGAUUCACUUAUAUUAUUUGACAGUCUCUCUAAAUAGCAUGGUAAUUUUAUUGGGUUAUUAAUUUAGUCCUAAUAUGAUGGGCAUCCAAGGGGGAUAUAAUAAAAACUUUCAUAAAGAGCAUUGAAUAUAUGAGAAAUUUGAUUCCUUGCAAUUGUUUUGAGAUAUGAAGAUGGUGAUAUUAGAGUCAAGUUAGUAGUAAAUUGUGUAAUUAAAAAAAUAUUUGUGUUAAGGUUUGUGAUUCCCGUAGCAUGCACAUAUGGUCUUCUAGUUAUGUGAUGAAGUUGGAGCGCAAUUUAUUCUUGAUCGUCUUCCUUUGUGUGAAAGUCGGGAGCGCAUGAUGGUUAACUCCUACCAACCUCUCCCGUAGGAGUAUGCGUAGUAGUACUUUGCUUCAAGGGCUAAUAAACUUUUUGCAAUAAGUAUGUGAGUUCUUUAUGACUAAUGUUGAGUCCAUGGAUUAUAUGCACUCUCACCCUUCCACCUUUGCUAGCCACUCUAGUACCACGCAACUUUCGUCGGUGUAUCAAACCUACCUUAUACCCUUCCUCAAAAUAGCCACCAUACCUACCUAUUAUGGCAUUUUCAUACCCAUUCCGAGAUAUAAUGCCAUGUAACACCAUCAUCAUCAUCAUAUACAUGACUUGAGCAUUCAUUGCCAUAUUGCUUUGCAUGAUCAUAAGAUAGCUAGCACGAUAUUUUCAUGGCUUGUCCUUUUUUUUGCUAUGCUAGAUCAUUCCACAUCCUGGUAGAGUUAUCAUGUAUUAGUUUUAUCGAGUUGUAAGUAAAUAAAAGUGUGAUGAUCAUCAUUAUUAGAACAUUGUCCCAUGUGAGGUUAUAAAAAAUAGAGAGAGGCCAAAGGAGUCUCCCAAAACAGAAGGAAAAAAUAAAUAAGAAAAAAUGAGAAAAAUGAGAGAAAAAGAGAGAAGGUGAAAUGUUACUAUCCUUUUCCACACUUGUGCUUCAAAGUAACACCAUGUUCUUCAUGAUAGAGAGUCUCCUAUUUUGACAAUUUCAUAUAUUUCUAGUGGGAAUUUUUCGUUAUAGAACUUGGCUUGUAUAUUCCAACAAUGAGCUUCCUCAAAUUGCCCUAGAUCUUCAUGAGCAAGCAAGUUGGAUGCACACUCACUUAGUUUUCUUUCGAGCUUUCAUACACUUAUAGCUCUAGUGCAUCCGUUACAUGGCGAUCCCUACUCGCUCACACUGAUAUCAAUUGAUGGACAUCUCCAUAGUUCAUUAAUUUUCCUAGUUGACGUGAGACUUUCUCCCUUCUUUUGUCUACUACCACCUUCUAUUCCACCUAUAGUGCUAUGUCCAUGGCUCACGCUCAUGUAUUGCAUGAAGAGUUGAAAAAGCUGAAGCGCGAAGUAUGAAACAAUUGCUUGACUGACACCGGGGUGGUACAUGAUUUAUACCUUGUGUUAAGAAGAGGGAGCAUAACAAGACUAUAUGAUUUUGUAGGGAUAACUUUCUUUAGCCAUGUUAUUUUUGAAGUUUCAUGAUUUUGCUUUCUAGUAUGCUUGAAGUAUUAUUGUUUUUAUGUCAAUGAACUUUUUUUGAAUCAUAUGGAUCUGAAAAUUCUUGCCAAGAUAAGAAGAAAUACAUUGCUAAAUAUGUUAGUAGCAUUCCACAUCAAAAAUUCUGUUUUUAUCAUUUACCUACACGAGGAUGAGCAGGAAUUAAGUUUCGGGAUGCUUCAUACGUCUCCAACGUAUCUAUAAUUUUUUAUUGUUCCAUGCUAUUAUAUUAUCAACUUUGGAUGUUUUAUAUGCAUUAAUAUGCUAUUUUAUAUUAUUUUUUGGACUAACUUAUUAACCCAGUGCCCAGUGCCAGUUUCUGUUUUUUCCUUGUUUUUGGCUUUCAAAGAAAAGGAAUAUCAAACGGAGUCCAAACGAAAUAAAACUUUAUGAUGAGUUUUCUUGGACCAGACGACACCUACAAGACUUGGAGAGGGGGUCAGAAGAGCCACGAGGAGGCGACAAGCCAUAGGGGCGCGCCCUAGGGGGGGCCCGUGGGCUUGUGGGCCCAUCGAGACUCCCCUAAACCGCCUCUAAGUCAUAUAAAUCCUCAAAUAUUCCAGAAACCCUAGAGGCAUCGCCAAAAAUAAUUUUCCAGCAUCGCAUGUCUCUGACCUCGUGAGAUCCCAUCUUGGGGCCUUUUUCGGUACUCCGCCGGAGGGGGAUUCGAUCAUGGAGUGCUUCUACAUCAACCUUGUUGCCACUCCGAUGAGGUGUGAGUAGUUUACCUUAGACCUACGGGUCCAUAGCUAGUUGCUAGAUGGCUUCUUCUCUCUCUUUGAUCUUCAAUACAAUGUUCUCCUCGAUGUUCUUGGAGAUCUAUUCGAUGUUGUCUUCUUUUGUUGUGUGUUUGUUGAGAUCCGAUGAAUUGUGGAUUUAUGAUUAGAUUAUCUAUGAAUAUUAUUUGAGUCUUCUUUGAAUUCUUAUAUGCAUGAUUUGAUAGCUUUGUAUUUCUCUUCGAUCUAUCGAUUUGGUUUGGCCAACUAGAUUGGCUUUUCUUGCAAUGGGAGAGGUGCUUUGUGAUGGGUUCGAUCUUGCGGUGUCUCAGCCAGUGACAAAAGGGGUAGCAAGGCACGUAUUGUAUUGUUGCCAUUAAGGAUAAAAAGAUGGGGUUUAUAUCAUAUUGCAUGAGUUUAUCCCUAUACAUCAUGUCAUCUUGCUUAAGGCGUUACUCUAUUUUUAUAAAUCAAUACUCUAGAUGCAUGCUAGAUAGCGGUCGAUGAGUGGAGUAAUAGUAGUAGAUGCAGGCAGGAGUCGGUCUACUUGUCACCGACGUGAUGCCUAUAUUCAUGAUCAUUGCCUUGGAUGUCGUCAUAACUUUGCGCUUUUCUGUCAGUUACUCAACAGUAAUUUGUUCACCCACCGUAUGCUUUCUUCGAGAGAGAAGCCUAUAAUGAAACCUAUGGCCCCCGGGGUCUAUUUUCCAUUAUAUUUAUUCAGAUCUAUAAAAUCAAAAACACAAAAAUACCUCGCUGAGUUUUAUUUACUUUUAUUUGUUUUAUAUCUCUCUGUUAGAUCUCACUAUUGCAAGUGACCGUGAAGAGAUUGACAACCCCUUUUUCGCGUUGUGUGCAAGUGUUUGUUAGUUUGUGCACGUGCAUAGAUUGAAGACUUUCUUGUGCCUCCUACUGGAUUGAUACCUUGGUUCUUAACUAAGGGAAAUACUUAUCUACUACUUGCCACAUCACCCUUUCCUCUUUAAGGGAAAAAUCAACGUAAGCUCAAGAAGUAGCAGCGCCCCCCAGGGCCCGCCCCUACGGCUUGUCGUCUCCUCUUGGGUCCCUUGGCCCCCACUCCAAGUCUCAUAGGUGUCUUCUGGUCCAAGAAAAAUCAUAGUUAAAUUUUAUUCCAUUCGGACUCCGUUUGAUAUCCCUUUUCUGCGAAAGCCAAAAACAAGGGAAAAAACAGAAACAAGAACUAGGAACUAGUUAAUAGGUUAGUCCAAAAAAUGAUAUAAAAUAGCAUAUUAAUGCAUAUUAACAUCCAAGGUUGAUAAUAUAAUAGCAUGGAGAAAUCAAAAAUUCUAGAUACGUUGGAGACGUAUCAGGCACCUCCGCGUUCAAGACACGUACGGCUUGGUGACGCCUUCACCUCCACGAUCCAACGAGCAAGGAUGAAGAAGUAGCUCGAGUUCCCGGCAGCACGGCGGCGUGGUGGCUGUGAUGGUGGAGUGAUGCGCUUGAAGCUACGUCGGUAUUUCCCCAAAGAGGAAGGGAUGAUGCAGCACAGCGGCGGUAGGUAUUUCCCUCAGUUAUGAGACCAAGGUCAUCGAACCAAUAGGAGAACCAAGCAACACAACGUAAACAACACUUGCACACAAAUAACAAAUACUCGCAACCCGACGUGUAAAAGGGGUUGUCAAUUCCUUUCGGGUACGGCGCCUGACGAUAGGCAAAACGGACGUGAGAGAGUUGUAAUAUUGAUAGAUUGAACGCCAAAUAAAAUAAAUUGCAGCAAGGUAUUUUUGUAUUUUUGGUUUAAUAGAUCUGAAUAAAAAGAGCAAAUAAAAUAGAUUGCAAAGGCAAAUAAUAUGAGAAAGAGACCUGGGGGCCGUAGGUUUCACUAGUGGCUUCUCUCGAGAAAAUAGCAAACGGUGGGAAAACAAUUACUGUUGGGCAAUUGAUAGAACUUCAAAUAAUCAUGACGAUAUCUAGGCAAUGAACAUUAUAUAUGCACCACGUCCAAGAUAAGUAGGCCGACUCCUGCCUGCAUCUACUACUAUUACUCCACACAUGGACUGCUAUCCAGCACGCAUCUAGUGUAUUAAGUUCAUGGAAAAACGGAGUAAUGCAAUAAGAACGAUGACAUGAUGUAGACAAGAUCUAUCUAUGUAGAGAUAGACCCCAUCGUUUUAUCCGUAGUAGCAAUGAUACAUACGUGUCAGUUCCCCUUCUGUCACUGCGAUCAAGCACCAUAAUAUCGAACCCACUACAAAGCACCUCUUCCCAUUGCAAGACAAAUAGAUCAAGUUGGCCAAACAAAACCCAAAUAUCUAAGAAUAAAUAUGAGGCUAUAAGCAAUCAUGCAUAUAAGAGAUCAAAGAAACUCAAAUACCUUUCAUGGAUAUAAAAAGAUAGAUCGGAUCAUAAACUCAAAGUUCAUCGGAUCCCAACAAACACACUGCAAAAGAGUUACAUCAUAUAAUCAAACGACAGAGAGGAAGCCAUCUAGCUAAUAACUACGGACCCGAAGGUCUACAAAGAACUACUCACGCAUCAUCGGAGAGGCACCAAUAGAAGUGGUGAACCCCUCCGUGACGGUGUCUAGAUUGGAUCUGGUGUUUUUUGGACUCUGCGGCGGCUGGAAUUGAUUUUUGUUGACUCCCCUAGGGUUUCUAGAAUAUUGGGGUAUUUAUAGAGCAAAGAGGCGGUCCGGGGGCACCCGAGGUGGGCACAACCCACCAGGGCGCGCCUGGGCCUCCUGGCGCGCCCCGGUGGGUUGUGCUCCCCUCGGAGCACCCCCUAGGUGCUGCCUUGACCCAUUUGGUGUCUUCUGGUCCAUAAAAAACCUACGUAAAGUUUUGUUGCAUUUGUCCGUUUGGUAUUGAUUUCCUGCGAUGUAGAAAACAUGCAGAAAACAGCAACUGGCACUUGGCACUAUGUCAAUAGGUUAGUACCAAAAAAUGAUAUAAAAUGACUAUAAAAUGAUUAUAAAACAUCCAAGAUUGAUAAUAUAACAGCAUGGAACAAUCAAAAAUUAUAGAUACGUUGGAGACGUAUCAGCAUCCCCAAGCUUAACUCCUACUCGUCCUCGAGUAGGUAAGUGAUAAAAAUAGAAUUUUUUAUGUGGAAUACUGCCUAACAUGUCAUACAUAUUAUUUCUUUAUAGCAUGGACAUUUGGACUUCUAUAUGGUUCAAAUAAAUAGUCUAGUUUUGAAAAGAUAACCUAAAUACUCAAGCAUAUCAACAAGCAACCAUGUCUUUCAAAAUAUCAACACUACAUUAAGUUAUCCCUAGCCCAUCAUGCUCAAUCAUUGAUCCAUUCAUGAAACACACUCGAAUAUUAGCUACACCCAAUACCCACUCACGAUCACAGUGCCCCUUAGUUGGUGCUUUAUAAGAGAAUAUGGAGACUCAAAUUCAAAAAUAAAAAUUGCAUAAAGUAAAAGAAAGGUCCUUCGCAGAGGGAAGUAGGGAUUUGUAGAGGUGCCAGAGCUCAAAGUGAAAAACUUAGAGAUAAAAACAUUUUGGGAGGUGUGACUUUCCCACCAACGAAAAUGACGUAGAGCUCCCAACAUUUUCCAUGCUAGAUACAUCAUAGGCGGUUCCCAAACAGAAAAUAAAGUUUAUUCCUUUUUCCACCAUACUUUCACUUUCCAUGGCUAACCGUAUCCACGGGUGCCCUCCAUACCAGCACUUUCCAAGGAAUUUAUUAUUUGACAACGUAAAGUAAAUUCAUUUUUCAUUUCGGGACUAGGCAUCCCUAAUACCUUUGCCGUACUCUCGUGCAAUGACGAGUGAAUAAACACUCAUCGUGAGAAUAACACAUCUAGCAUGGAAAAUAUCGGCCACCCCUCACCGCUCCGCGAGCGGUACGAACACACAAAAGAGAAGUUUAUUUUGAAAAUUAGAGAUGGCACAUAAAAAUUGGCUUAUAACGACACGGAAAUACGGCAUAUAGGUAGGUAUAGUGGACUCAUGUGGUAAAACUGGUUUAAAGGUUUUUGGAUGCACAAGUAAAGAUCAUACUUAGUGCAAAAUGAAGGCUAGCAAAAGAUUGAGAAGCGACCAACCAAGAAACGAAUAAUCUCGUAAGCAAGCAUUAAGCAUAAGUAACACAGAAUAAUGCAGCACAAGUAGGAUAUAAUUUCAUUGCAUAAUUAUUGACUUUCGUUCUUGCAUAGGGAAUCACAAACCUUAACACCAACAUUCUUACUAAAGCAUAAUUACUCAUCAACAUGACUCACAUAUCACAUCAUCAUAUCUCAAAACUAUUACAAGGAAUCAAGUUUAUUUUGUCCAAUGAUCUUCAUGAAAUUUUUAUUAUAUCCUUCUUGGAUAUCUAUCACUUUGGAACUAAUUUUCAUGUGUUGCUUUUGAUAAGCUCAAACAAAUAUAAGUGAAGAUCAUGAGCAUAAUUUUUCUUUCUCUCAAAAUAAUCUAAGUGAAGCAAGAGAGAAUUUCUUGGAAAUUUUACUAACUCUCAAAUAAAUCUAAGUGAAGGAAGAGAGCAUUUCUUCAAAAAUUAUAAAGCACACCGUGCUCAAAAAGAUAUAAGUGAAGUACUAGAGCAAAUCCAUAGCUCAUAAAGAUAUAAGUGAAGUAUUAGAGCAAAUCCAUAGCUCAUAAAAUUUAAGCGAAGCAUAUAGAGCAAUUCUAACAAGUCAUGGCAUAAUUCUGGCUCUCUCUCUCAAAUAGGUGUGUCUAGUAAGGAUUCAAGACUUAAAACACACAAUAAAACAAGCAAAGACUCACAUCAUACAAGACGCUCCAAGCAAAAAUCAUAGUAUGUGACGAAUAAAAAUAUAGCUUCGAGUAAAAUACCGAUAGUCGUUAGAAGAAAGAGGGGAUGCCACUCGGGGCAUCCCCAAGAUUAGUUGCUUGCUCUCUUUUGUACAAUAGCUUGGGAUGCCGGGGCAUCGCCAAGCUUAGGCUCUUGUUACUCCUUAUUCCUUCAUCCAUCGUAAGAUAACCCAAAACUUGAAAACUUCAAUCACAUAAAACUCAACAAAACCUUCGUGAGAUCCGUUAGUAUAAGAAAGCAAAUCACUACUAUAAGUGAUGUAUCAAACCAAUUAAUAUUUUAUUCUUGCAUUAUAUCUACUGUAUUCCAACUUUUCUAUGGCAAAAACUCAUCAAAGAAAACCAUAGAGCCAUAAAAACAAGCACACAACGCAAAGAAAACAGAAUCUGUCAAAAAACAGAACCAUCUGUAGCAAUCUGAAUAUUUCGAAUACUUCUAUAACUCCAAAAAUUCUAAAAAGUUAGGACGACCUGAGCAAUUUGUAUAUUAAUAUUCUUCAAAUAGAAUCAACUCAAAAGAACUCUUCUGAUAAAAAUGAAAAAAUAAUUUCGUGAGCGCAAAAGUUUUUGUUUUUCAGCAAGAUCAAAUCUAAUAUCACCCAACGUAAUCCUAAAGGCUUUACUUGGCACAAACACUAAUUGAAACACAAUCAGUAGCAUAAUUGUGCUAACACUCAAUAACAGAAAUAAAAAAGCAAAAGUAAAUUUUAUUCAUUGGGUUGCCUCCCAACAAGCGUUAUUGUUUCACGCCCCUAGCUAGGCAUAAAGCAAGGAUCUAAGUUUUGUCAUCUUUGGUUCGAGAUCCAUAAGAUGCCAUCAUGAUUGAUUCAUAUGGAGGCCUAAUUUUUUUCUAGGGAAGUGUUCCAUACCCUUCCUUAAUGGAAAUUGGAAUUUAAUAUUGCCUUCUUUCAUAUCAAUCACGGCACCAAUAGUGCGUGCAAAUCUCAAACACCCUCCCCCACAAGGGGCGGGAUAGAGAUGCCUAUAACCCUUGUACAUGAGAUGUAACUGUGUACCAUACCAUAUAUGAAAAAACAGUAGGAGCCUCUCCUACUGUCUAAUUCCUCAAAAAAAUAGUGUGUAAAAACGGUCUACCAAGAAUAAUUGGACAAGACGGAUUACAAUCAAUAUCAAGAACAAUAAAAUCUAUGGGCACAUAAUUCCUAUUUGCAAGAAUAAGAACAUCAUUAAUUCUUCCCAUAGGCUUUUUAAUAGUGGAAUCCGCCAGGUGCAAACUUAAAGAGCAUUCUUCAAUGUCGGUAAGACCAAGCACAUCACAUAAAGAUUUUGGAAUUGUAGAAACACUAGCACCCAAGUCACAUAAAGCAAAACACUCAUAAUUUUUAAUCUUGACUUUGAUAGUAGGUUCCCACUCAUCAUGUAAUUUUCUAGGAAUUGAAACUUCUAAUUCCAACUUUCUGCAAAAGCUUUCAUCAUAGCAUCAACAAUAUGUUUAGUAAAAGCUUUAUUUUGUUCAUAAGCAUGGGGUGAAUUUAUCAUGGAUUGUAACAAAGAAAUACAAUCAAUCAAAGAGCAACUAUCAUAAUUAAAGUCUUUGUAAUCCAAAAUAGUGGGCACAUCACUAUUUAAAGUCUUGACCUCUUCAAACCCACUUUUAUCAAAUUUUUCGACAAGAUUUUCACCCUGCAAAUUAUCGAGACGCCUUCUAACUAAAGUUGAAUCUUCUCCAGUCCCUUUUUCAUCCAUCUUAAUUUUACUAAACAAGGAAUCAAUAGAAGAAACACCAAUCAUUUUAAGAUCUUCAUCAUUUUUAUGAAAGCAAUCACUAGAAAAUGCCUUUUCUAAAAAUUCUCUUCUAGCUCUAAGCAUAGAGGUUCUUUUCUUACUUUCAUCCAUAGAAAAAUGAAGAUCCUUAAUUGAUUCCUCAACUUUAGGCACAAAAAUUUUCAUCUUGAGAUUUUCCACAUCAUGAGCAAUUCUAUCAAACUUCUAGACAAAUCAUCAAUCUUAUUCUAUUUUUCUUCUAUGGUAGUGUUGAAAACUUUUUGCGCAUUGAUAAAUUCUUUAAUAUUAUUCUCAAGAUCAGAGGUGUUCCUAUUAUUAUUGUAAGAUUGAUUUCCAUAGGAAUUACCAUAAUUAUUAGAGGAAUUACUAGGAAAAGGCCUAGGAUUAAAAUUACCUCUAUAAGCAUUGUUAUUGAAAUUGUUUCGAGAGAUAAAAUUCACAUAUAUGGCAUCACUAUUUUGCUCAAUCAAAGUAGACAAAGGAAUAUCAUUGAAAUCAAUAGGAGCACUUUUACUAGCAACCAAUUUCACAAGAGCAUCAACUCUUUCACUCAAAGAAGAAAUUUCUUCAAUCGAAUUAACUUUUUUACUAGUAGGAGCUCUUUCGGUAUGCCAUUGUGAAUAAUUUGCCAUGAUAUUGUCAAGCAAUUUGGUGGCUUCACCCAAAUUAAUUUCCAUAAAAGUACCACCCGCGGCGGAAUCUAAAAGAUUACGAGAAACAAAAUUCAACCCCACAUGAAAAAUUUGUAUGACCAUCCAAAGAUUUAACCCAUGAGUUGGGCAAUUCCUUAGCAUCAUUUUCACCCUUUCCCAAGAUUGUGCAACAUGCUCAUGUUCAAGUUGCUUGAAAUUCAUGAUCUGGGUUCUAAGGGAUAUAAUUGUUGUGGGCGGAAAAUACUUUGUGAUAAAAGUAUCUUUGCACUUAUUCAAAAAAUCGAUACUAUUGCGAGGCAAAGAAGAAAACUAAAUUUUUGCAGAAUCACGCAAAGAGAAUGGAAAUAAUUUCAUCUUAACCACAUCAUUGUCCACAUAUUUUUUAUUUUGCAUAUCUCAUAAUUCCAUGAAGGUAUUAAGAUGAGACGUGGCAUCCUCAUUAGGAGUACCGGAAAAUUGAUCUUUCAUGACAAGAUUCAGCAAAGCAGUAUUAAUAUCACAAGAUUCCGCACUAGUGGCGGGAGGAGCAAGCGGAGUGCCAAUAAAAUCAUUGUUCUUGGUAUUUGAGAAAUCACACAACUUGGUGUUCUCUUAAGUGAUUGUGACUACACAACAAGAUUGCACUAAAAAAUAGAUCCGGUAAGAAAACGGCGAACGAAAAAGAGGGCGGAUAAAACGGCAAAUUUUUGUGAAGUGGGGGAGAUAAACGAGAGGCAAAUGGCAAAUAAUGUAAAUUGCGAGGAGAUGAGAUUUGUGAUUAGGAACCUAGUUUAUGUUGAAGAUCCUCCCCGGCAACGACGCCAGAAAUUCCUUUUGAUGUGCUUGAAGCUACGUCGGUAUUUCCCCAAAGAGGAAGGGAUGAUGCAGCACAACGGGGGUAGGUAUUUCCCUCAGUUAUGAGACCAAGGUUAUCGAACCAGUAGGAGAACCAAGCAACACAAUGUAAACAUCAACUGCACACAAAUAACAAAUACUCGCAACCUGACGUGUAAAAGGGGUUAUCAAUCCCUUUCGGGUACGACGCCUAAAGAUAGGCAAAACGGACGUGAGAGAGUUGUAAUAUUGAUAGAUCGAACGCCAAAUAAAAUAAAUUGCAGCAAGGUAUUUUUGUAUUUUUGGUUUAAUAGAUCUGAAUAAAAAGAGCAAAUAAAAAAGAUUGCAAAGGCAAAUAAUGUGAGAAAGAGACCCGGGGGCCGUAGGUUUCACUAGUGGCUUCUCUCGAGAAAAUAGCAAACAGUGGGAAAACAACUACUGUUGGGCAAUUGAUAGAACUUCAAAUAAUCAUGAUGAUAUCCAGCCAAUGAUCAUUAUAUAGGCAUCACUUCCAAGAUUAGUAGACCGACUCCUGCCUGCAUCUACUACUAUUACUCUACACAUCGACCGCUAUCCAGCAUGCAUCUAGUGUAUUAAGUUCAAGGAAAAACGGAGUAAUGCAAUAGGAACGAUGGCAUGAUGUAGACAAGAUCUAUCUAUGUAGAGAUAGACCCCAUCGUUUUAUCCUUAGUAGCAACGAUACAUACGUGUCGGUUCCCCUUUUGUCACUAGGAUCAAGCACCGUAAGAUCGAACCCACUACAAAGCACCUCCUCCCAUUGCAAGACAAAUAGAUCAAGUUGGGCAAACAAAAACCAAAUAUCGGAGAAGAAAUACAAGGCUAUAAGCAAUCAUGCAUAUAAGAGAUCAAAGAAACUCAAAUAACUUUCAUGGAUAUAAAAAGAUAGAUCUGAUCAUAAAAUCAAAGUUCAUCGGAUCCCAACAAACACACCGCAAAAAGAGUUACUUCAUAUGGAUCUCCAAGAGACCAUCGUAUUGAGAAUCAAACAAGAGAGAGGAAGCCAUCUAGCUACUAACUAUGGACCUGAAGGUCUACAAAGAGCACCAAUGGAAGUGGUGAACCCCUCUGUGAUGGUGUCUAGAUUGGAUGUGGUGUUUUCUGGACUCCGCGGCGGCUGGAAUUGAUUUUCGUCGACUCCCCUAGGGUUUAUGGAAUAUUGGGGUAUUUAUAGAGCAAAGAGGCGGUCUGGGGGGCACCCGAGGUGGGCACACCCCACCAGGGCGCGCCUGGGCCUCCUGGGUGUCUUCUGGUCCAUAAAAAUUCUCCAUAAAGUUUCGUUGCAUUUGGACUCCGUUUGGUAUUGAUUUCCUGCGAUGUAAAAAACAUGCAGAAAACAGCAACUGGCACUUGGCACUAUGUCAAUAGGUUAGUACCAAAAAAUGAUAUAAAAUGACUAUAAAAUGAUUAUAAAACAUCCAAGAUUGAUAAUAUAACAGCAUGGAACAAUCAAAAAUUAUAGAUACAUUGUAGACGUAUCAUGGAGCAAUCUUAGCAGGGCUUCGCCAAGCACUGACUGAACGUGGAGGAGUAACGGGAGGGAGACGGGGCAAGCAUGGAAGGGUUGCUGCACCCAACGCCUCCCCACAUAGGCGUGGAGGAGGCUAGUGGCUUGCCCUCCAAGUCCCUAGGGUCGCUGGGCAAAGGGGAGGAAGGAAAUCCCUCCUUUCCUUCCCCAUCGAUCGCUAUCCCCCCCUUUUAGGGAUCCAGAUCUUAUGCCUUUGGGCUAUGAUACUAUUCCUUUUAAGGGAGGAUCUUGGUGCGCCUAGACUAGGGUUGUGGGGACUUUCCCAACUACCCACGCUCAUGUGGGUCCCCAUGCGGGUGGGCCCCACUCUGGAACCUUCUAGAACCUUCUCGGUACAAUUCCAAACAAACUCAAACUUUUUUAGGAAUCCCAAUAACAACUUUCUAUAUAUGAAUCUUUACCUCUGGACCAUUCCAGAGCUCCUCGUGAUGUACGGGAUCUCAUCCGGGACUUCGAACAACCUUCUGUCACCAACACAACAACUCAACUAUACUUUGAUCGUCACCAAACGUGAAGUGUGUAGACCCUGCGGGUUCGAGAACUAUGCAGACAUGACUGAGACACCUCUACGUUUAAUAACCAAUAGCGGGACCUGAAUGCCCAUAUUGGCUCCUGCAUAUUCUAGGAAGAUCUUUAUCGGUUGAACCAUGAUGUUAAGGAUUCAGCUAAUCCCGUAUGCAGUUCCCUUUAUCCAUCGGUAUGUUACUUGCCCGAGAUUCGAUCGUCGAUAUCUCCAUACCUAGUUCAAUCUCAUUGCCGGCAAGUCUCUUUACUCGGUCCGUAAUACAAGAUCCUGUGACUAGUCACAUUGCUUGCAAGCCUUUUGUGAUGUUGUAUUACCGAGUGGGCCCUGAGAUACCUCUCCGUCACACGGAGUGACAAAUCCCAGUCUUGAUCCAUGACAACUCAAAAGACACCCUCGGAGAUACUUGUAGAGCAUAUUUAUAGUCACCCACUUAUGUUGCGACAGUUGAUACACACAAGGUACUCCUCCAACGUCAGUGAGUUGCAUGAUCUCAUGGUCAUAGGAACAGAUACUUGACAUGCAGAAAGCGAUACCGAUAAACUUGAUACGAUCAUAUGCUACGCUUAUGGUUUGAUCUUGUCCAUCACAUCAUUCUCCUAAUGAUGUGACCCCGUUAUCAAAUGACAACUCAUGUCUAUGGCUAGGAAACCAUAGCCAUCUUUGAUCAACGAGCUAGUCCGGUAGAGGCUCACUAGGGACAUGUUGUUGUCUAUGUAUCCACACAUGUAUUUGAGUUUCUAAUCAAUACAAUUACAGCAUGGAUAAUAAACGAUUAUCAUGAACAAGGAAAUAUAAUAAUAGCCACUUUUUUAUUGCCUCUAGGGCAUAUUUCCAACACUUCCAUGUCCAUGUCUCCCCCUCUACUUCCUCUACACCUACCUACCUCCUAUACUUCCUCCUUCCAUACUUCCUCUCCUACCACCGCAUAUCCCGGCGAGUCGUUGUUCCAAAGAAGCCAGCUACCCCACUCGCAAGUGUGAGGGUCGUGUACUCCAUCGCCACACUCUUCCACUGAAUGACCCAUCAAUCCACAGAAAUAGCAAAACUCUGGCAGCUUGUCAUAAUGAACAGGAUAAUUCUUGCGUUCUUUCAAAGUGAUUGGAACAAAUUAGACCAGAGGUUUAUUAACAUCCACAUAAACUCUUACCCUCAGAGUGCUCGUCGGGUUGAUUUUGCCUUCAUUAACAAUGACCGAACGGUGGUUCCCCAUCUUGGCUACAACCUUCUCGGCUAGUUCCUUCUUAGCUGUUAAACCGUCCAGCAUACCUUUGAUCCAUGCCCAAAGUGGUAGCUUGUUUAGCUUAUACUUAGCUACAUCAGUAAAACCAUCAUACUCUUGGAUAGUGACAUGAGCAGAAUUACAAAAAUCCAUGGACCACCUUCCAUGAUCCUCUUCCAAUCACCCAGGUAAUGGCACUGUACCAGGAAUAGAUUUGGGCCCUUCACAUUGAACGUUACACCCUGUGUUGAUGCCCAUGCGUUCCUCAUCUGCCUCAAGAGGGCAUCAUGACUGAAGGCCUUCAUUGUAUGAACAUGGAAAAGCCCUAACCAACAGACUCCUUUGAUCAACUCAUCCACUUCCUCGGACAGGUCCAGAUCAUCCUCCUCCUCCCCAUGCAGAUGUAUCCCCGUGAAUUGAUCUUCCAGAUCCGCUUCUGGUCCGUACGAAUCCCAGAACCCCCCUCUCCCAGGUUAACAUCCCUCUCUUCAGAGCCCCUUCUCCCAUCUCCUCCAUUCCACCAGCCGCACCGACCUCGGCCGACCUGCUGCCCUCCCCCUUCCCCGUCUCCCCAUCUUUCUCUUCUCCCGCUACUGCCUCCUUCUCCUUCCUAAUCUCCCCCUCUCAACUGUUUUCUUGUGGUAAGUCAUCCAUGCAAACUGAGAUCCGCAGGCCUGAAGAUAUUGUGAUUCCGACCGCCGAAGAAAUCCGACCGCCGUGAAGUAAUUUCGUGGACUCCGGUCGUAGCCGCCAGAGGGUAGGUGGAACCCUAGAUCGCCUAGGGGUUUCUCAAUAAAUGCAAAUAUGUACUCCUUCCGUUCCUAAAUAUAAGACUUUUUGAGAGAUUUCACUACAAACUACAUACGGAUGUAUAUAGACAUAUUAUUGAGUGUAGAUUCACUCAUUUUGCUACGUAUGUAGUCCAUAGUGGAAUGUCUAAAAAGACCUAUAUUUAGGAACAGAGGGAGUAUUUCCAAAUGUUUUUUUGGUUACAGGCGGGAUUAUCUUUUGUACAACUUAGAAAUUUUUUUCUUCAGAAAAAUCAAUUCAUGGAUUCAUAGUGAAUGCGUACAAGUUUCCACAAAAUUAGUUUUGAAUUUGUUUGAAACUUUAAAAUAGGUUUUUUUAUUUUUUUCAGAAAAAGAGGCACCAAGAUGCCCGAGCACUACAACUUCACGUCCUGGGCUCAGAGCCCAAAGCGGCAAGGACUGUGGGCCGACGUGUGCUGAGAAAGCAACAAGGAUUUCGUGGGAAAGAUUGGGCCAGGGUCCAGGAUGCCAAUUCUGGGACGCGUCGGAUUCCAACGCUGGCUUUAUAUACAAGGUCUCCCUAGGUUCCCCGAUCGAUCGAUCCAGAUCUAGAAGAGGGAAACCACAGGAGAGAAGAAGAAUCAAGCCAGGCGAGCAUAGGAGAGGGAAGCCAUGGAUGUGCGCGAGGGGACGCGGAGGAUGAGGGGUGCUUCCAUCCCUGCUCCGCUCGAGGGUGAUGGCGAGAGCCUGCUGCUGAUGUAUCUGCCUCAGCCGGCGCCGGCGUCGGCGUCGGGGCGAUGAUGCCCACGCCGCUGCCCUCGUUGGAGGACUUCGAAGCUUUAGGAGAAGAUGGCAAGCCAUUGUGGCCGUCCAAGGAAUUCCUCCGGCAGAUGUUGGUGGCCAUCGCCCCGACCGGAUCGAUUCUGCCCACUGUCUAAUUAAUUACUACGAGUAGCUUUCUUUCUACUCGAUCGUACUACGAGUAGCUUUCUUUCUACUCGAUCGUCUGCCCAUAUGUAAUAAAUUGUGACCAUCGAUGAGGGCGACUACUUUAUUUGUAUGCACUGUCUUGUUUUAAUCGAUGAUGGACUGCCUACUGUCUAAUAAAUUGUCGUUUGUUUUGCAAAGCAAAUGUAACGCAUUCAGUAUGAUCCUAAUUCCUUGCUUGUUCCUCUGCAUAUUGAUU
Molecule: long non-coding RNA, 61228 nt
Filed under: Triticum aestivum (bread wheat)
Lineage: Eukaryota; Viridiplantae; Streptophyta; Magnoliopsida; Poales; Poaceae
Description: long non-coding RNA (TAES_LNC012283)
Source: RNAcentral